Molecule: long non-coding RNA, 75693 nt
Filed under: Ananas comosus (pineapple)
Lineage: Eukaryota; Viridiplantae; Streptophyta; Magnoliopsida; Poales; Bromeliaceae
Description: long non-coding RNA (ACOM_LNC028885)
Source: RNAcentral
UGGCGUGAAGCCGGAUUGGGCUGAGUGGCGAGUCACAAUGAGAUUUGUGGAUAUUGUAUCCGUACGAUUUAAGUGAAUUAGUCGUGUAUUUAAUAGUUAUCAUCAACGAUUCGACACCCUUCACUUUUUUAUUUUUUUAAAAUUUUAUAUAUAUAUAUAUAUAUAUAGAGGGAGAGAGAGAGAGAGAAUUAUGCUACUAUACUAUCGAUAGUACCAAACGCUUAGUGCAAUCGAGUUUCGGCCGUUCGAUGAAAUGAUGUGCGGUUAAGAUGAUAGUGGUAUCUUAGACUUGAGUGAGUGGUUGGUUCAAUAGUAUAAUCUAACAGGUGGAAAUGAUCAAAUGAUAGAUCUAACGGCAGAAAAGUCGAUAGUAACAAGAGCUUGGUACAAUCGAUAAUAUAGUUGUCUGACUCUCUCUCUCUCUCUCUCUCUCUCUCUCUCUCUCUCUCUAUAUAUAUAUAUAUAUAUAUAUAUAGCAGGUUUACUGUGCUCUUAGAAAAACGAAGGCCUCUGUGCUUCUUAAUUGUUUUCGUUGAUGGAAUUUUCGAAUCGACGAUUAACUCUAUUAGACUUGAUCUAAUGUAUUUGAAGUAUUUAGAAAAUAAAUUUUACGAUUUUUCGAUAUCAUUACCUAGCGAUCAAAAGGGUUUAUAAUUAAUAAUUUUUAAUAGUUGAUAUCUAUCGUUUCCAAAUAUAAAAUUUUGAUUGAAAAUCUUUUGUACUAUCUGCAGUAAGAUAAGAUCUAUCACUGACCAAAGUGGAGAAGUGGCAGAGGAGAGGGGAUUGGGUGAUUCACAGAUGAUGUGGUGGACUUGGUCCAGGCAGGAAUGUUCUCAUAUUAGGCUGUCUCCUCUUUCAUGUACCUAUCAUUACUCCUCCCACCUCUUUAAUUUCUCAGUCCUUCACUCUCUCCUCUAUGAGAGGAGGAAGCCCCACUUGGUACUGCAUACAUUUGCUCCUCUCUCUCUCUCUCUCUCUCUCUCACAGGAUGUUAGUAGUGGGUUACAGGUCAGUUUUUCAAAAACAAUAAAAAAAAUUAAAAUUCAAAUCUAUACAUAUUUAAUAUAAGCUAAAUCUUUUCCGUUCAUGUUACAAUUUCGAUAAAGUUAUUGGUGUCAGCUAUUAAUUUUAAAAAUUUAAUCUGCUAGAAAAAUACAAUCAAUUUACUAAGCAUGCUGACACAACGUUUAUGGAUCUCAAUUGUGACUCGGCCUAGGUCUUCCGUCAUUUAGAUUAUGACUCAGUUCAAUAAAUGUGACUCGGUUCAAUUCGACCUCCUGUCACGAGGCAGGAUGCUUCUCCUUUAAAUCAAUAAUUUUGAAUAUAGUUGGAUAUACAUUUGCUUUUCUCUCUCUCUCUCCAUCUUUACCCUAUUAUAGUGUCAUACUUGCACCAUAUCAUCAGUAAUAAGCAAAUUAUAUAUUUUUUUUUAACAGAAAAAUAUAAUAAAAAUAAAUUUUUAUUAAUCUUGAUAAAACUGGUGAAUUCAAAAAAAGAUAAUCUCAUUGGUUGAAAAUACUAUAUCAGUAGCAUAACUGGUAUAUUCUAGAUUGUUUUCCUUCAGGUCCCUACUUUACUUUCCUCACCUUAAUUUUUUUUUUUUCUUUUUUCUCUCCUCAUUCAUCUUCCACUUCAAGUGAGAUCCCAUUCAAGUCAAGUAGAGGUACUAGUACUAGGAGUGGGAGUAAAGAGAUUCUUUGAAUAAUCUCUCUCUCUCUCUCUCUCUCUCUCUCUAUUCCAUCUACCUCAAAAAAAACCCACCUGUCACAACAUCACCUGUCACCACCACCAUUAUUUUACUACUACCCCAUUUAAAAAUAAUGAUAAUAAUAAAUUUCAAACACUAUAAUUUUAUUUAUUUUUUUUAGUACCAUAUAAUUUAAAAUAUAUCAAUUUAGUAUUCUAUAUAUAUUUUUUUUUCGCCGAUUCUUUUGUUAAUUUUUCGUUAAAUUAUAUAUAAAAAAAUUUAAGAUACUCUAUCUAUAUUUUAUUGAAUAUUCACUUUAGUACUCUUUAGUUUUAACUUUGUCAUUGAUUUAAUAAAAAAAUUAAUAAAAGCGAUAACAAAACGAAAAAAAUAAAAUUAUAGUAUACGAAAUUGAUACACAUUAAAUUAUAAAAUAUUAAAGUAAAAAAGUACGAACUAUAGAGGUGAUAUUUGGAAUUUUUCAAAAAAAAGAAAAGAGAAUCCAAAAUUUUCCCUUGUUUCAUUUCCUACUUCUAGAGAUGCAAUAUAUGCAAAUAGUAGUAGUAGUAGUAGUAGUAGUAGGAGAAAGAAAAGGAAAUACUUUGAAUUGGAUCUCUCUCUCUCUCUCACAUUCUGACCAAUCACCACCACCAUUGUCUCUUUCCCCUGUAAAAUUUAUUACUCUCUCCUCACCUUUCUCCCCUACCCCCCACAAAAUAUAGUUUUUCCCUUCAUCUUCUUCUUCUUCUUCAAGUGAUCCAACUCCAUUAAUGAUAGUACUAGUAGUUGGGGGAGGAGGAGAACAUAGGAUACUUGAAUUGGAUCUCUCUCUCUCUACAUCUCUCUCUCUCUCUCUCUCUCUCUCUCUCUCUAACUACAGUAUCAAAUUUGUCACCAAUCAUCACCCCACCACCACCACUCCUCUCCUCUCGCAAAAAAAAAAAAAAAAAAAAAAAAAAAAACCAAGCUUUUCUUCAUCAUCUUCUUCAAUUAGAUCCAAUUUUCACAUGAUAGCAAAGUUGUUAGUAGUAAUAAUGAGAUGUAAAUAAUUUGAUUUGGAUCUCUCUCUCUCUCUCUCUCUCAAGCAUCACAUUCUCUCACCCAUCACCACCACCACCACCACCACCACCACCACCACCACCAUUUCCUCUCACCAAAUCACUUUAACCCCCCAAAUUUUCCCCUUAAAAAUCCAAUCUUUACCCUCAAAAACCCCAAAUUUUCCUCAUAAAAAUCCCAUCUUUCUCCUCUCUAGCAUCACAUUCCCUCACCCACCCCCACCACCACCACCAUUUCCACUCAAAAACCCCAAUUUUCCCCCUUUUUGUUAAAAAAAUCCGAUCUUUACUCUCCAAAACCCAAUUUUUCCUCGUAAAAAUCCAAUCUUUGUUGUUGUUCAUCAUCAUCAUCUCCUCCUCCUCCUCCUCCAAUUCAUGUCGGAUUCGGACCUCUCGCGGCGCACCGUCAUCUUCGGCCUCCGCCUCUGGGUCGUCAUCGGCAUCCUCGCCGGCGCCGCCUUCGUCCUCCUCCUCUUCCUCCUCUCCCUCUACUUCACCUCCAAGCGCCGCCCCCGCCCCACCACACCGCCACCACCAACCUCCUCGCUCGCCGUCGCCGCGACCGUCUACACCCCCGACCGGCGCCCCGCCCUCCUCCCCCCUCCUCCGCGCCCCGGCAAACCCCUCCCAAACAACCCGCCCAACACCCUCUCGGAAUCACACCAAGGACCCCUCCCCCUGUUCCCCCUCCCCUCCCCUCCCCCCCUCUCUCCUGCCUCGCCACCGCAGGUGGCUGCGCCGCCGCCCGCCGCAGUCCUCCGCCGCGCCGCCGCUCUGCCGGAGAGGCCGACCCUUCGUGGCGGGCAGCGCCGACCACUUGGCGACCCCAGAGGUGUCGCACUUGGCGGUGGGCCAUUGGUACACUCUCCGAGAGCUCGGAGACGCCACGAAGCACGUUUCUCCGAUGAGAACGUGAUGGAGAGAAGGGAGGUAACGGGAAUCGUCUACCACGGCAUUUUGGAGGAUAACACCCAGAUCGCCGUGAAAAAUUUGCUCAAUAAUAGGUCGAAUUUUUCGCUCUUUGUUGCGCAUGUUAGGUGUUUGAUGAUUUUACUCAGAGAAUGUAGUUAUGAAUGAUAAUGUGAUGUUGUUAGCGCAUGUUAUGUGUUCGAUCACUUUUCUCCACAAUGAAAUUACCCAGAAAAAUAAAAUAAAAAAAUGAGUUGUCGAUGGCGAUUGUAUCAUAAAACAAUUGCGUGGGAUUACAACAGGUAUUGUUACUAGUGUUUUGAUUUGAAUUAUAUUAGCUCAUUAUAUUGGGGAUUUUGUUAAAUUUAAUGCCGAUUCCGCUAAACUUAAUCGCCACAGAUCAGCGCAACAUAUGUUUCAUUAUUAUAUGGUAUGAUGCUUGUUUCAAUGUUGUUAAUGCGAUGAUGUGAUGAUCUUCUUUUUUUUCAGGGGCCAAGCGGAGAAGGAAUUCAAGGUCGAAGUGGAAGCAAUUGGGCGUGUUCGGCACAAGAAUUUAGUGAGAUUGUUAGGUUAUUGUGCGGAGGGUUCUCACAGGUACUACUACAUUUUACUUGGAUAUUCUUAUUUAAAUAGAUCCAUUGUUUACAACAUACAUAUAUUUGAGCUUGUACUUCUAUGUUUGCGAAACAACCGAUUUCUCCAAAAGCUUAAGGUUCUUGAGAAUGAUAUUUUGACAUAUUACAUAGAACGCUCCUUCUCGUGUCUUCGCUCAGGACUUGCGAAUAGAUUGUGGGGUUUUAUCUUUUUUUUUUCUUGGGUUAAAUUCUAGAUGCAUCUUGAGACUUUGAAUUGACGGGCUAAACAUCUUUUGAUAUGAAAUGGCGGAUGAAUUUGGUGAGACUUGAACUCAGGAUCUCCUGCUUAUAUGGAACACAAUGUUCUCUGAGGCUGCGUUUGGUAACAGAAUAACUAAGGGAUAAAAUUUUAUCCUAUGUAAUCUGCUAAACACAGCUAAAUUCGACAGGGAUAGUUUCUAGUCAAAACAACUUAUUCCGGGUUAUUCUGGAAUAACCCGUUAAGAGCUAUUCAUUCUCCAUGCCACACUUUACUCUACUCUCACCUACCGCUUCACCUCGUUCUUCGCACCACACCUUUUUCACUAUUCUCCACUAUUCUUAAGAAAAUAACCAAACAUAAUUUUGAUUAUCGUAGGGAAUAAGAAAAUGUCAAACCAAACACAACAUGCCUUCUUUCCCUCUCUAUCCUAGAAUUUUAAGUUAUUCUAAGAAUAAAAAUAUAUAUCCCUUCCGAGAUGGUCCCAUUACCAAACGCUCCGUAAAAGCUUAAACUGGUAGAGCACAGUGUUUUGUUAUCUUAUAUUUGAUGAUACACAUAUAAUGAGAAUGCUUUUCAACUAAUGUUGCAACUCUACUUUCGUAGGAUGCUAGUUUAUGAAUAUGUCGAUAAUGGGAACUUGGAACAAUGGCUUCAUGGCGACGUUGGACCCACGAGCCCUCUCACGUGGGAUAUCCGCAUGAACAUCAUACUUGGAACAGCUAAAGGGUAUCUUCGCUUUCGAUGCCUAUAAUUCACCAUUUUUAACACAUUUGUGCUCAAAUGUUUGGAUAAUCCCUUACUCCCUGUACUUUCUUGCUUAUAGACGAGAAAGUUCGAGGCCCAUAGAGUGUUUAUGUUAAAUGUUUGGGGGCGAGGUUGCAAUACCAGGGCAGUACAGAGAUUAUCCAUGCAUUUUACGCUUUUAUCUUUACGAUUUAUCAACGCACGGCAAUAUAAUGCAGGCUGAUGUACUUGCAUGAGGGUCUUGAACCUAAGGUAGUUCACCGCGACGUUAAGUCGAGCAACAUCUUGCUCGAUAAGCAGUGGAAUCCUAAGCUGUCGGAUUUCGGGCUCGCGAAGUUACUCGGAUCGGAGAGGAGCUAUGUUACGACUCGUGUGAUGGGAACAUUUGGGUUAGCUUUCGUUUUAUUAGUUUACUCGACUUCAUAAAGAAAGAAUAAUAAUAAUAAUAACCAAAGCAAGAACUGAGGGAAGAAUAUAUUCUUGUUCUUUUUUUUUUUUGUAGUUAUGUAGCUCCUGAAUAUGCCGGCACGGGUAUGUUGAACGAGACGAGCGACAUUUAUAGCUUUGGAAUUCUUAUUAUGGAGAUAAUAUCGGGUAGGAUCCCGGUUGACUAUAACCGGCCUCCAGGAGAGGUUAGUAUUGGAUAAUUUUGCUUACAAAAAAAUAAAAUGUCUCGAGUCUAGACCUUACCUGAACUACAGUAAAACACGUAUACGAUGUUUAAACAUUUUAAUUUCAUUACCUAAACUUAGAGUGCGACUUCAUUUAACUAACCUCUCGGUUGGAACUUAAUGCAAGGAUUUAAGCGUCGUGGCAAUGUGUGUCGAUCACAAAAAUACCUGCAUAUGGACAUAUUAUAAAUAUUUUUUGGCAUCAGUAUAUUCUAAUUGCUUGUUAUAUAUCUUUAUCAAAUCUUUUGCACUUUAUUGAGAUAACUACUUACUAAUUUCAAAGAAAAGAGGAUGCUGAGCCGUGCUAUUGGCACGGAAAUCGUAUCGUACUGAUAUCUUAUCGACACGGUAUGGUACGGUGGCCAUAGCUUUUUUGAAGAAACAACCAAAUUCUGUAAGUUUGGUAGUUGAAUCAAAAUUUGUGAAAGUUCAAGUACCCAUUUCAGAAAGCACCCUAGUUUGCUUAUAAUGUAUACAUAGUAUGCGAGCUUACAACGAGCCUUUAGUAAUUCUUAAGGCGAGUUUUGCAGGUCAAUUUGGUGGAGUGGUUGAAGAUAAUGGUCAGUAAUAGAAAUUCCGAGGGUGUUUUGGAUCCAAAAAUGCCCGAAAAACCUUCUUCAAGGGCAUUGAAGAAGGCUCUUUUGGUAGCACUAAGGUGUGUCGAUCCCGACUCGCAAAAGAGGCCGAAGAUUGGGCAUGUGAUUCACAUGCUCGAAGUCGACGACUUCCCUUACCGAGAUGUAAGUCACAAACUCGUCACGAUUUAUCCAAGAAAAUGUAUAAUAUGCUGAUAUUGCAAUUACUGUAAGUUUUAAUGUCCUUGAAAACAGAGUUAGAAAAGUCAUUUAGUAAGGAAAAGUCAUGUGUUGAUGAAAUAAGAUGGGAUAGUCGAAGAAGUUCUCAAAAGAGUUUUCAUACGUACGUGUCAAUUAUUAUGUGACCGAACAACUUAAACGAUGAAUUUUCCAACUCAUUUCAUUUUCUACGCUGUUAGAGACACGUGAGAGCGAAUGAAUUUGCAUGCUACCAAACCAUAUAUGUCGACGGUAAGCAUAUAGUACCAUCAGACGAACUGUCUCUUUCGUCUAUUUUUUACUUUAAUGAAUUGAAUUUCUUUUUGACUAUUCUUGAGAGUUAAUAUCAUGUAGGGAGAAAGAUCGUAAGUGUUAUUAAUUGAUUUGAUAAGUUGAAAUGUCAUUAUCAACUUUUGACGACAGUAAGAAAGAAGCUUCAAAUUGGAGCUUUUGUAUACGUGGCUCAGAAGCUCAUUUUAGCUUCCGAUUGUCGCAAACCACUAUAACUUUUGUACAGAACACUUUGUUUCUAGAAGCUUCUAUUUUGUGUAGUAGCAAAGUUGCUCGAGAAAGCGAGUCAAAAUAAAGCUUUUUUCUGUUUCGUUUCCUUCAUUUAGAAAUAGUGGCUGUUUUCUUAUCCCUAACUGAAUGUGUGUUUUAUUAGGAGCGUCGAACUGCGCGAGUUCCAGGGCAACCGAGAUUGCCGGAAAAACCAGGGAAUGAAGCAGAUGAUAAAACCGAGAACUAAAAAAGUGCGUGUUAGGAUGCGCGGUCUUGUUGAAGACAACAACAAGUUCAGCUACGCGAAUCGCAGAGAUUCAACUUCUCCAAAAUCGACCCCUCAUCGGUUUUUUCUAAAACAAGAGAAAAUACGAAAGUUUCGCGUCCCGAAAUCGACAAUGCAAACUCAGGAAGAUACUAACUAAGUGGCUUUUUAUUUUUAUUUUUUUGGUCUAAGAUCUUGUAAAUUUGCUGCUUCUUGUUUUAUAUAUAUAGUUUUGUGAUCAUCUAAACUGUAUUUGUAUUUAUUAUAUUUUAUUUUUCAUCCUGAUCUUGUUAAGAGAUAUGUGUAUGAUAAAGCUAUUCAUUUUCUCUUUUUAUUCUUGGGUUACUCUUGGAAUAUUAUUAUUUGUUUUUGUUCCAUUAGUUCCAUUGAUUAGUGAAAAAUUAGCUGCAUAUUUGAGAUUAUUGUUUGUUCAAUAUCAUAUUUUAUUUGAAUUAAUAUCAUAUUUUUCUUAACACAAAUUUGUUGACUUAAUUUCCACUAUUUGCUGCUCCAUUUAAUAUUUUCUUUAUUAGUUGAGAAAGAUUUAUGUUAUUAAUUAAUUAACAUUAUUUUGCAGUUCUUUAGAUAACUCUAUAUCUAAAAUGUAAUUUAUUCCCUUUAGUAUAUCACUUAUUUUACUUAACUCCUUGGAUGAAAAAAAAUGCGCACAUAACCCUGAAAAUUUGCAUUAUUAGUACUUAACUCUUUGGAUUUAAAAAAAAGGGACAAUUGCUUAUAUACUCUUGAAAAAUAUUUAUCACUCUUAGAAGAUAAAUAUUGAAAAUAUUUUUUUUACGUUUCAAUUUAUUUCAAUUAUGUCCUCGGAGUUAAAUUCUUAACAAUAGCUGUUAUAUGUAUGAAAUUACUAUUUUGCCCUUUGAAAUAUAUCCUUUCGUCAUUAUCGACCUUUUUUAUUUGCCUUUAAGUUAGGGGUACAAAAAGUAUUUUAAUUUUUAGUCUUUUCAAAUAUACCUUUUUGUCAUCACUAACAUUUCUUAUUUACCCUUAAAUUAAGGGUAAAAGAGAAUUUUUUUUUUUUUAACUCUAAUAGAUAUUUAACUCGAGUGGUAACAGUAGGGAUAUUUAAGAAUAAUGAAGGAACAUACGAGGGAUAUAUUGAAAGAAAAAAAAGUAAGAGUAAAUGAGAUAUUUUCAAAAUUUUGAGGGAUAUAUAAGCAAUUAUCCCUAAAAAAAUGUACGUAAAAAAUGGAGAGAUAUUUGGUUAUUUUAUUAUAUUUUUUAAAUACUGUAAUCUAGCAAAAUAUUUUUGAUCUUUUGAAAAGAGCUAAGUAUAUAUAUAUAUUUGCUUCUUGGGGAAUAAAGUGUGAUAUGCGAUAUAUUGAGGGGGUUAUCUGUAUUUUACCCCAACUUUAUUAAAGCAAUAAGUUUAAUAAUUAUUGAAAAUUAUUUAAGAUUUGAGAAUUCUGGUAGUUCAAUUUAUCUGAAUCAGACAAAUUAAUUUCCCAGCAAUUUAAGAUUUGAGAAUUCUGGUAGUUCAAUGUAUUUCGGUUAAUUGCUUUUUUUUUUUUUUAACUUAAUAAUUGAGUAGAAUUAGGGACCAUAACAUCAUUUUAGCAGCAUAAAUUUUUUUUAAAUUUUAUUUCGGUUCCAAAUAAAUGACCAUAAGAAAAUAUGACAAGUAUAAUAUCGUAAAAUUCGCUUUUUUACUUUUCCUCUAUUAUUUUCAAAAAUCUACAUUUUAUUUCCUCAAAAUUUCAAGUUUAUGAAUUUCGCCCUCCGUUAAGGUGCUAUCACUAUUUCGUCUGUUUCUUAUAAUUUAUACUGAAAAUGCAAACUACAAAAAUAAGUAAAAAUUAUUUUUUUUCUUAUAGAACAAGUAAGAAUAAUUUUGUUAUUUCGUUCCUCUCCAAUAAUAUUAUAACUAUCACGCCCCAGGCCCUAGCCAAAGGAUCUUAGGACAUGUUUGUUUCACCGUAAGUGAACUUUGGGUUGAAGUGAACUUUGAGUUGAACUAGAGUUCAGAUGAAAAUUACUUCACUUCCGCUGUUUGUUUCUAGCUGUGGAAGUGAAGUUCUGCUAGUUCUGUUGUUUGUUUGGUAAUAAAUAGAUGACGUAGAAAGUGUAGUUCUCUACUUCCGCUGUUUGUUUCACCGAAAAUUAUUUAAUCCGUACACUCCCGGUAAACUUACCUCCUAAUAAGUGAUAUUACUUUUUAUUUUGUAACUUAGUAAAUAAUAAAUUAUAAUAAAUAAAAAAUAAUAUAAUUAUAUAUAUAAUUAUAAAAUAAAAUUUAAAAAAAUUAUAUUAAUUAUUUUUGCAUAUAAUUUAUAAUAAUGCAACAAAUAAAAUUCUAAAUUAAAAAAUUAUUAACAUUUAAAUUAUAUAUUAUAUAGGACAAGUGUUUAAAAAGUGAAAAAAAAAGUAACAAUACAAACGAGACCUGAUUUGUUUGUCUAACAUCAAUUGAAAACAGAGACCCCCUGAAAACAUGAAUAGAAGUGACACCAAACAUAUAGUAAGAAUAACAACAAUGCUGCCAGAUACCGCGCCAAAUAAUACACAACGAACCAAAUUUCAUCAUAUUUUAGAAAUGCAAUCUAAAUAAAAAAAAAUUAAUCACUUCCACAAUUAAACAUAUUUAGAUGAAAUAAAGCUAGCAUAACUCAAGGUAAUCACACCCAAAAUAACAAAAUAUAUUGUGCAUACCAAUAUCACAACCAAAAUAACAAUAUCACAACCAAAUUGUAUGGUUACAUCUAUACCAACUUACAUCACAAGCACUAUCAUAGUUAAAGGUUAAAUCCAAAAGAUAAUAGAUAUAUGUUUAAUACAUAACCAUACUAAUAUAAUAACAGAACUUGAAUUAGUUAUGGCAUGACAUAUAUCAAAGAAAUCUACUAAGAUCACUAAAAUGUGUAGUUACGUAGUGUUCAAACCAACUACGCCGCAUAUCAAGAUCCUUCGUCAUGAAUACUCUUGCUUGCAUCUCACUUUGACAAAGGUAUUCAAAAACAGUCUCAUAAAUCUCGCUUUUAUUAAUGGGAGCAAAAAAUUACUUCACUGCAGUAAAUCAAAAAAAUUAAAAAGUGCAGUAAACAAUAAAAUAAAAAAGCACAGUAAAUAAAAAAAAAAGAAAAGAUUUAUUUGCAAACCUUAUCACUGACGAUACGGAAGAAGAUCAAUGGAACACGAGAUCUGCGAGAUCUGAGAUGGAAAAUGAUGGUUGGUGAGAGAGAUCAGGGAAGGAUUAAAGAAUCAAAACAUGAAAAAAAAAGAAAAGAAGAAGAUGAUGAAUAAUAUAACUUGCACCGCCAAUGGAGAAUCGGGCUUCGGAAUGAUCGAGGUCGAAGAAGAUGGAGGAGCGUGCUUGGGAGAGAGAGAUGGGCUUCUUUUUUUUUUUUAGGUAUGUAGAGAAAAAGGGAGGGGUGAACGUGGAGACGUGAGGGGAAAGAAGAGGGGGAGAGUAACCCUAAUGUUAUCAGUGUAAUUAAAGUUCCCAAACUAUUUCCCUUCACCUCACCAAAAUUGACUUCGCCUUCUGGGAGGGCGAAGUCAAUUUCGGAAUUUUGGAUGAAGUGAAUUUUCGACCGUAAUAAUAUUACGGUGAACCAAACAGCGAAAGUGAUUAGUUUUCACCGAAAACUACUUCCCCCCUCCCCAUUUACGGUGAAACAAACAUGCCCUUAGUGUGCGAAUAGAUCUGCCAUAUGUACAAGGACGUAUCCCGCACAUAUUAGGUGUCUAAAACAACCUGUACGUUAAAUAACAAAGCCCUAGAAAUCUAUAACUAAUAAAUAUCAGAGUCAAUAAACAAACAACUAUAUAGGUAUAGCAAUCACUAUAAGGUGUAUAUCCACAAUCAUAUAUCCAUACAUUUUUCAAAAGUACAAUAUAAAAAAAUCUGGCCUCGCUAAUCCAAAUGUACAGCAUGCUAUACUCCAAAACUAGCCAACUGGGAGUCCUCCUCCAUGCCGUACAACCUGGAUAGGAGAUGUUAUCUACAUCGGAAUCCCCUUACCUCGGUCAGAAGCAGGUGCUAAGGCUAUGAACUAACAAAACAACCAAAUAGAGGGCGUGGUACUGCUGAACAGUAGUUCCCAAUUAGUACCACCGACGACAACGACGACCUACACCACUAGAUCUAUUAGAGGGAAUAUAGAGAAUAAGUUGAAUACAAUAAGAAAAAACUAAGCGAAAAUAAUGCCACCUAUCAUGCCUCUACAAUAAAUACCAAAAAGCUGUAAACAGCUAUCUCAUGCAUCAACUAAAUAAAGUAUGCAAUAUAACCUAAUCAUAGACCGACCGACUCAAUAGUUUGGUCAAGCACGUGCCGCCUCGUGUCCAGCAACCACCAUCGCCUCCUCAACCAGACCUGAACUUCAUGGCUUUUCCAUCUAACUAACGUAAUAACCGCCAUGCUUCUCGUCCUUUAUUGACCCCCCUCGCUCCUAGUUGCCGCCAUCAACCACCUUUAUCAUCGCGCUUUCCCCUUUAAAGCCUGUUUCAUCUUCCUCUUCGCAAUGUUAUUGGCCUCCUACAUUUUGCCGACUCUAUCAACCUCUUCCUCUAUUUUCUGCUUCAUGCUACACCUUAGCUCCAUCUCUGCUCGCUAAAGCUCUAGAGAUCUUUGUCGCUGUCACCUCCUGAUUCGCUGAACCUGCAUUUUCCCAUGCACCACCUCCUAAUCCUUGAUGAAUAGUCGAACAAUAUUACUAUAAAUCUUAAAAAUGUAUGAGAGCAAUAUAGUCUUUAUUAGUAUUUUGAGGUGCACGUGUCUGCAUGGUAAUUAUUCUUAUGGACUUUAAUGUAUAUUGAUAGAUUGUUAUGAUGCUUGAAUUCAAUAAUUUUUUUUUGUUUUUUGCAGAAUUGGAAUAUGAAGAUAUUAUAAGUGCUAUUUACACGCUUGAGACGUUUCGAUAAACAUUAAAGGAAUUUUUUAAAAAUAAUUCUAUAAAAUUUUCUAACUAACCGAAUGACCGCUCCAAAAUUUUAUUUGGCCACUAACCCUCUUUUUGCCAACUCAGUGCUAUAUAAGAUAAAAAUGAGAAAGACAAUAAAUUGUUCAUCGUCUUUAAAAAAGCAGGUUAUUAAUAGAUUUUUUGUAUAAGUUGUGAGAGUUUUUAUGAGAUUGUUAGAAUUGUAUGUAGAUUACGAAUUAUAUGUGAUUUUUUCGAUCAUAUAAGAGAAACAGAAAGAAACGGCAAAAGAUUUACACGCGACGCUGAGUUGAACAAAAUAGAAUUUUGGCUAAAUAAAUUUUUUGAUAGUAUCAUUUAAAAAAUUAUAAUUUUGUCAAGGGUUCAUUUGAAAAAAAUCCAUACCAAAAGCCCAAAACCCUUCCCUACCGUCGAAGCCAACAAAAAAAACCCUAACAAAACCCUCCUCUCAUGGCGGAGGACUCCGAAUCCCCUCCAAACCCUAACCCUAACCCUAACCCUAACCCUAAUCCUAAGGACUCCAAGAGGUCCUCCGUGUGCGAGGAGUGCGGGGAGAAGCCGUGGAAGUACCGGUGCCCGGGGUGCUCCCUCGUCUCCUGUAGCCUCCCCUGCGUCCAAUCCCACAAACGCCGCACUUCAUGCGACGGCAAGCGCCGCCGCACCGGCUUCGUCCCCCUCCGACUCUUCGACGACAACCUCCUCCUCUCCGGUACCCUACUAUCUCGCCGGCAUCUUCUUCUUUCCUUUGAUCUUUGGUUACCUAUUUGAUCUUAGGGUUCUUGAGUUGAUUACUAGCUUAUUCCCUGGAAUUUGACCUAGGUUUCAAUUUCAUGCUCAUUAUUUCAAUUGGGUAAAAACAUAAAGAACUUACCUGAGCUAUGGACCAUUUUGAGUUUGCUACCCACCCUUUCAAAAUUUUGAUUUUACUAUCCAGUCUUUCAAUUUGUUUGAUUUGAGUUAGUCAAUGACACUUUGGUUGUAAAAUUUGAAUGCAUCAUUUAUCUUUACAGGUUUGGUCGCAGCUAUAAAUUCAUUAAAGUAUUUAGUUCGAUUAAAUUUUGAAGUCUAAAACCGUUGAUUGACGCAAAUCAAACAAAUUGCAAGGUUGGGUAGCCGAUUUAAAAUGGUCCAUAGUUCAGAUAAGUUUUGUACAUUUUUUACCUUUCAAGUAUAACAAUAGUGUGUCGAAAGUUUGCUUUGCGAGAAAGUCCCUAUUUAACCAAUUCUAUUGAGCAGCGUGAGAUAAUGAAUGGUCUUAUCGUGGGCAAUUUCAUAACUUCAUAUUGAAAUGGUGUUGAAAAAAUAAAUUUUUUAUUGUACCUUACAAUAUUAUGGGAACUUUUGAUUAGACGUUGUUACGUGGAGCCACAUAAAAUGAUGAAAGGUAAAAUCAGGGGCAAGUUUGUAAGUUUGUAUUAUAAAUGAUGUAAAAAUAAAAUAUUUUGUUAUUGUAUCUUUUAUGCAACUUAAAACUUUUGAUUAUAACUUAGAUGUUGUUGUUCUUGCAUGGAAUAGCUGUUAUAAAGAAGACUCUUUUUGUUCUUCAUGAUAAUUUAGUCCUGGUUGUCUACUGUCUACUACUGAGAAAGCGGCACUGUAAACUGUAGAAAAAAGUUGAAAUCAAUUUCAAACUUUAGGAAACAAAUUGUUAGAAAUGAAAUUUUGAGGAAAUUGAAACCGUAUCAACUAGUGUUUAAAAAAGCCCAAGAUGCACCUAGGCGCAAAGAGCAAGGCGUAGGCGCGCGCCCGAGAGAGGUAAGACACACACUUUCACAGAAAGUUGAAAUAACCAAGAAAUUCUUUACUGUACUUUCUAAUAAUUAUUAAGUAGCACUAGAUACUCUUUAAAAUCAUAUUAUCACAAUAAAUAUUCUAUAACUACCCAAAUAAUCACAUUUUCGGAAGAAAAAAAAUGAAGAAAGAAAAGAAGCCAAGCAAUAUAUAUGAUAAUUUUAAAAAAUAAAAUAAUAUAGAUAAAGUUAAAGAACACAUUAUUUUUUUGUCUCCAAAUAAAGGUCAGCAUAAAGGUAACUAAUAAUUCAAAAAUAUAUAGAAAACUUUGAUGUAAAAAACUUAUAAUUAUAAGCACAAGGUCAUAAAAAAGUAACAUGUAUAAAAAUUGAAAGUUUCAAGCCAUGCAUCAUUAAAAGGGUAUCAUGAUCAUAUGAAAGCUAAUUUUAAGGCUCCAAGCCAAAAUACAUCACACUAGAAGUGUUAAUUAGUCCACAUUUGGACGAGCGGGAGAGAAGGAGAGCCGGAGGCAAUGGAGGAGCGGGAGAGAGGGACGAGCGGAGAGGACCAGAGAGAAUUUGAUGAUUGUUUAGUGUUUAGAUUAUGUUAGCUUAGGAUUUUGGAUUUAUUUUAAAUGUUUCAACCUAUUAGACCAAUAAAUAUAUGGAUCCAAAUCCAUUAGAGUAUAUAGAACUAGAUCUAAACCCGUUAGAUGAAGAAGGCACACCUUGAACGGGCCUUGAGCCUAGAGCUAGGCGCGCGUCUAGGUGGCCUAGGCGCGCGCCUUGGCAACCUCGCCCACCUAGGGGCUGCCUAGGCGCUGGCCGGUGAGACUAGCGCCUAGGCGCCGAGGCGCGCUUUUUUAAACACCGGUAGCAACCUUCUCGUCUGUUAAAAAUGGAAGUGAAACUAAUCAGGAUGGAAUUUACAAUCUUCCUCUCUAGUCGGUUACCUAUCUUCUCUGCCCCUACUUGUGUCUCCUUUGAUCUUCCAUACCUAUUUUAUGUUAAUUUUUUUUGUGUUAGUUACAAAUUUAGUCAAUGAAGUUUGAUCUUUAUUUUAAUUUCUGCCUUAUAGCUUCUGAUAUGGCAAUUUUGUUGCUGAACUUUGUUCUGUAUUAUGUUUAGGCCCUUCGGUUGUCUAUCAUCUGAAGAAGUGUCAUGUCAGCACUGUUGUCAGGCUUUUUUUUUUUAGUAAAGUAGAAACCUUUGGGGUGAAAUUGAAAUCUAGGUCAAAUUUCAGGGAUGAAAUUGAAAUUGUGGUCAAACUUCAGGGUUCAGAUUAGAAACAUGAGAAUGAAAUUGUUAUCAGGGUCAAGCUUCAAGUAAAUAGUUGUUACAAUUAAAAGUGUGAGAAUUGAUUUUUAAUACCAAGUUGAUCUUUGCCUUAUUGUCUUGUUUGAUCGGUUAAAGAUUACAACUUUCUGGAGGAGACGAAAAGGGUCACUGAAUCAGCCCAGAGAUUGGUUGCUGGGUAUGGUGGGUAUGUUGGGAAUAAUUUGCCAAUGAGACUACGGAUGCUUCGGAAGGCUGCUUAUAGGCGGAAAACUCAACUGUUCUUUUUACCACUAGGCAUGUCAAAGAGAGAGAAGAACCGUUCUAUCUACAAUCAUAGGUUCAUUUUACAUUUUUUUCCUCUUUGGUUACUAGUUGUUUUUUAUGAGUAUAAAUUGAAUUUGUGAUUUGUUUGGCCAUUUUUCUGUGUAAGUUUAGGAACUUGGGCCGCGCUUUAAAUUUUUCUUGUUAUGUGUUUAAAAGCUACUGAUCUAAAUUUAUUCUAAUUGUAUUCUUUUGCCAUCUUCUGGUGAAUGUGUUAGGCAGUGACUAGAAUAAAGUGUGAUCAAGAGCCAACAAUAAGGCUAUUAUAACAGAAUGAAUAUUUGCUGUUUAUCUUACUGGAUCAAUAACUAAAUUAAUCUUAUUUUUUCCCCUUUUUUUUCCUCAUUCCUUUUGCGAUUUUUUCAUGGUAAUUAAUCUACUCAAAUAUUGUCUACAUUAUUUAACACAUUUCUGCGUGUGGACAGAUGGAUUUAUACUUGUUUUUGCAGGCAUUUUACUAAGAUUUUAGUCGUAGUCCUCUAAAAUUGGGUUUAUGCAAGAUGUGGAUUAUGUAAAUAUUUGGGCACAUAAUGUGUAGUGUAUGCUUUUAAAUGCCUUUUACUUGUAUGUUCACCUGUGUUUAUCUUGUUCUAAGCCAUCGACUUUGGUGAUCAAAUUACUUGCUCAUGUGCUAGACGCAACUUUCUUUGGAAACUAUCAUUCUAUUCAUUCUUGCAUUUAUAGUUUGCUUUGCUUCCAGGAAGAACUCUAUCUUUUGGACCCUCGAGUGGAGGUUUAACUUAACAGAUAUCGUCCUACUUGAUCAUGGGUGAGUUUCUAAUACUCCUAUUCUAAAUCUUAAAAAUAAAAAAAUCCUAGUACAAUUGUCUGAUAUAUUCAAAAGUGUCACUAGUAAAGUGUAUCUGUUUAUAGUACUAUGGCAUGAUUCUCUUACUCGCCUAGUGUUAGGAAUUGCUUCUAAAUUAAAUAUCAAUACAUUCUUUUUCAGCAUAGAUGAAAAUGCCAAAUUGUCGGUUUCAGUAGAGAAGCAUUUAUCUCCUAGUCCAUGGAAAGAUAGGCUUACACAAUUCCGGAAUGUAGCAUUGGAUGAUUUGAAGCUUUUCAUUCGGAAAAGUGCAAAGGUAUGAAGUUAAGUGAUGAUUUUUUUAUAGCGUAUUAUAUUUGGCCUUUUUGCCAAGAGAAAUGCACGCUAUCUCUUGCAAAAACAUUACAUUUUUUUAAAAUUUUUGCAACUGUAACCAACUUUUCAACCUUUAGGAUCAAACUGUCCAUUUGCAAUAGGACAGUGAUGUACACUUCUGAAUGAUCAGUUCCUUAUUUCAAGAGCAUGUAACUGCAGUUUUUAAUUGUGCACCGAUCGUUCAAAACUUCCCAUUGUUGUCCUGUAUAAGGGGCAGUUUGGUCACAAAAAGUGAGUAGGGAUCAAACUACACAUUGUAAGUUACAGGUUUUUUGCGUAAGUGUAAAAUUGAAUCUUAUAGGCCUUAAAAUUGAAAUCUUAGCCAUUGCAACUUAGAAGUGAUCUACAGCAUAUGCAAGGCCUAUAUACAAAAUAACUAGUAGUUCUUGAAACCUAUUUCAUCAGCUGCUCAACAUCAAGAAAUCUUAGGGCGUGAUUAGUUCGCCCUAUGAAAGAUUACUAGGAAUAAAAAGAUGCUCAAGGAUCUUCUUCCUUCUCAUCCUAUUACUAAGAAUGUGGCAUUCUGAUGUUUGGUUCACAUGGUCAUAUUAUUUAGUCAUAUUAUUUAAGAUUACGAAAAAUAUGUAAUUAAUGUAUUUGUUUCCUUAGUUAAUUUUAGAUAAUGUUAUAAAAAAUUUCAACAUCUUUUUAGAAAAGAAAAGAAGAGAGAACAUAGAUUAGAGCGAGAGAAAGCAUAAUUAAAAAAAUAGGGAGAGAGAUAGAGUCGAGGUUAGAGGGAGUGAGAGAGUUGAGAUUUUAGAAAAAGAGGGAGAGAAAAAGCUUUGUUUAGAGAGAGAAAGAUAAGUUUAGAGAGAAAUAUGAGGUUAGAGUGUAAAGGAAAACAAUAUCAACUAGCCGGUGGGUGAGGAGCAAAAGAUUAGACAUAUUAUAAUUAUCUCAAUUCAUUAAUAUAAGGAUACCCACCAUCCCUCAAAGGAGUGAGAUUAGUACUUUGGGGUUAAUCUCAUUCCCAAGUAAAUCCAACAUUACCAACUAGAUUACUUAAUGCGUAUAGCUAAACACUAUCAUAUUUUUUUAUUCUUAUUGGAUUAUUAGGAAUUUUAGAAAGAUAGCACAAACCAAACGCACCCUUAAAGUCAACGACCUAGAAUGUCCGUAAAGCCCAUUGAUCAAUUUGUAGGAUACAUGUUUCUGAAACAUAUGAGUUUUUCAUAUAAGCCCUUCUAGGUAUUGUAGAUCACGUUCGAUGCUUUUGAUUAAGGGUGAUUAGUGUUGGAGUGUCGUAAACAGGUCGUGCAAUUAUGUAGGUAUAUGGACAUGUAGGUCAAUUUAAACCUGACCCUGACCCAUUUAAUUAAUGGACCAGGACUCAAAAAUCAAAUCCAACCCAUUUAUUAAAACAAACUAAGUGGGUUGACCUAUGUAACCAAUUUAAUUAUCUAACAAAGAUGUAUGUAUAUAUUAUAACAUAAUUAAAUAUUUUUUUAUAUAUUUCUCUUCAUUUUUACAUAAAGAAAUUUUUGUUUCAUAUUAAUCGGUAGUUAAUGGGCCAAGUGGGUUACGCAGGUCGUACUAAAUAUGAAUUGUAUAAUUGACGAUUUAAGCAUUGGCUCGCUUCUAACAUAAACCUAUUUAAGCUAAACCGAAACCCGCUAAUAUCUGUCUGGUCGUUGCCAUUUGUAGUCUCAAUUUUAAUUUUGAGGCCCUUAUCAUUGAAUUUCACUCAUUUGUAAAAAGUAUAUAACUCAUUAGUUUUUGUAGCCUGAUCCAAGGAUUUAAAUGUCAUGGCAUGGGCUCGUGAUGAGCACUUGUUGACACGGUAUGGCACAGUGCGUGCCGUUCCGUGAUGUGUGUCAUUCAGAAAAAUAUCUGUGUGUCGAUAUACUAUAGCACGAAAUAUUUAUUUUCUUUGGCACCAAUAUAUUCAAAUUGCUUAUUAUAUAUCUUUAUCAAAUCUUUUGAACUUCUUUGAUGUAAAUACUUGCUAUUUUUUUCAAAAAAAAGAGUUUUGAACUGUGGCAUCGGUACGGGAGUCGUAUCAUGUCGAUAUCUUAUUGGCACGUUGGGCAUGGACUGUGCUGAUAGGCACUUGAAUCCUUGGUUUGAUACCUAAACUUUUUUCUUGCAAAAAAACCAGUAUUUUGUCUCAUUUUGAAACUUUCUUGUUUUAAAACCCUGCAGGGAGCCAAGUCGCCGUUCCGUGAGUUAAACAUUAGGGCCCCUUUAGGCCCGCAACUUAAGAACGUUCUUGUUAUAGAGUACCCUAUAAUACACGUCUUUCUCCCUUCCCACAGUUAUGACUUUGAAAUUGAGAAGGACACAAAUUCGUUUGUUGAACAUAAUGAGACUUCAGAUCAUGAUGUUGUUCCAAAAGGUUCCGUAUUUAAAGAAGAGGAAAUAGAGGAAGGGGAAAUGACUUCAGAAACUCAAGUUUUGGAUAUUGUAGAUUACAAAAUUCCUACUUCUAAUGGUGUUAAAACUAGUUCUGGUAGUAACUUCGGUUUACAGUCAAAGAGGCUUAAGGGGAACUUCGAAAACGGAGGACAAGUGAAGGAUCCUAAUUUGGAGCUUAAUGAUGUUACUCGGCUACAAAACGGGAGUAAUUUUACCCAUAUGAGAGAAAGUAAUGAUGCUGUUAGGGUUUUCGAGUAUGAGAACUUCGACUUUGAGCAAGAGAUGAGAGAUGCUUAUUCCGACCUACUUGGCGAGAUGAACCCUGAUGAUUUCUUGUGCUUGGAUGAUGGAUACAGCGAGGAAGAAGGAUCUAAGGAAUGCAAAAAUGCCCAAGAUUAUGGUGGGCUUUUAUUAGGCGCCGAAGAAUUAGAGGAAGGCGAGAUACCGAGCGUCUGAACUUGAACUGAUCACUAUGCGUUUGGUGAAGCCGCGAAACGAAACAUAAUGACUACAAUUUGCUUUCAGUUUUUGAUCAACCGGUCGCCUCGUGGAUUCACAGUUAAACUUGUAUUCCAUUGUAUCCUUAAUCAUGAAUGCAAUUUAAUGGGACAGCAAUACGGGCGCAUGUCAUCGAAGAACAUGGCCGUGUGUAAAUUUCUCUGAGCUUCGUUAAAAUGAGUUCCCUUCUGGGUUCUCUUUUAAGUGAGUGAAUAUCAUGUAACAAGUGAAUUUUGGUCAUCUGUCGUUGUAUAAUGCGAAAUUUUGCAGUUGAGCUUGUGAUAAUUAUGAGGCUUUUUGUUGGUUUCAGAUUUUCUUUUUAAAUUUGUUUCUACUUUUCCAUUCUGUUGGUUUGAUUUCAAUGUACUGCAACACUGCUUUUCAUAGAAUCUGAAUGCUAAGUUUCCGGUCAGUUUCAGUUUAAAACAGAUACUGAAUCUGUUUCAGUAGGAAUUGCAAAACUUGGUUCUCUGCUUCAACACAUCCUGAAUGAAUUAUUGGUGGGAAAGGAAGGGUUAGUUUUAUAUUGGGUUAACUAGUGUAAUGGCCCGCGCUUCACGGCGGGAGCUAAUAACAUGAGAAGCUAAUAAGAUGAUUAUUUUAUUAUAUUUAUUUAUUAAGAAAUAUAGAGAUACAUAUAACAUUCAUAUUAUGUAUGAUAACUAAAUACAUAAUACAGAUAAUCUAAUAUGAUAUAAUAUCAUUUAUAAUGCAAAUAUAAUUGGUAAAAUAGUUUCCAGAUUAUGGCCUAUCUAUUUCACUUGAUUUAUUGCAGGUGUUAAUCUUCCAUGACCCUUCUCCAGUCUUCGAACUGUAUAAGUAUGAACAAUAUCUCACAUAUAUACGACAACUGCAAAUAUGUUGGUUUAUCAUUAAGUCUGAGUGCAUUGCAAGUAAAGAGACUUACUGAUAUUUUUUUUAUUUAUCUGGUCAAAUCAGCAGUUCUUGGCGUGUAUCAUGUUGGUUUAUCAUGUUGUUUUUUAGAGUUUAAGUUUAUCUCCGAAUUCAAGUACGUCGUGGUUAUUGCAAACAUAGCAUUCAAUUUCCAUACCGGCUAUACCGAUCCAGAGAUUUUUUCAGAUGAGAUUGUUCUACAAUUCACGGUGGAUAUUCACUUGGGUGUGCUUCUAACCUCCCCGAGUAUGUAAACUGCCUCUCACAUUCUGCAGGAAGAGAAGAGGAAAAAAAAUGAAAUAUCAACUGUGCCAAAAAAAUUAGAAGCUACAAUUUAAAAUAUUCACAGUAACUAAAACUUUAGAUUUAGAAAAAAAUAGGCGAUGUGGCUUAACGACGGAACACCGUUUUUCGACGAACUCUUUUUCUCCACCAAAGUCAAAACAAAUUUAGCGAAAAAUUUUAUCCGAAAAAACUGAAAUGUAAGUAGCCCAACAAUGUUAAAACAUCGUAAAAUAAUUAGAGUAACAGAGACAUAAUUAUUAUUAUUUAUUUAUCUAGUCAAAUUAGUAGUUCUGAGCGUGUAUCAUAUUGGUUUUUAGAGAUAGAAUUAUUUUUUUUAAUUUGUCUCGUCAAGUUAGCAGUUCUGAGCAUGUAUCAUGUUGGUUCUUGAAGUCUAAGUUUAUCUUCGAAUUCAAGCCUGCAUGGCUACUGCAAACAUGGCAUACAAUUGUGUAAUUAUUAAUAUUUGAUAAAAAAGUAUAAAAGUGAUGAUGCUAAACGUUUGUACGUUUUAUCUUUUCUACCCAAAAUUUGAAUUCCAUUUUAUGCUUAAUUACUGAAACUGUUUGGUUAAAUUGUGAAUUAUUAGCAGUGAUAUUAUUAGUUCCAAAAAAUCAAGUUUAUCUUUGAGCUUGAGUGCAAUGCAAGCACAAAGACAUUUUUUUUCUUUAUUUAUCUGGUAAAGUUAGUAGUUCUGAGCGUGUAUCAUGUUGGUUCUUGAAGUCUAAAUUCAUUUUCGAAUUCAAGCCCAUACAGCUACUGCAAACAUGGCAUCCAAUUUCCAUCCUGAUGGUGCCGAUUCAGAUUUUUUUUUUUUACAGAUGAAAUCAUUCUACAAUUCACUACACAAAUUUACUUGGGUGUACUUUUAAUCUUCCCGACUAUAUAAACUGCCUCUUUAGAUCCUGCAGGAAGAAGGAAGGAAAAAAUUUUAUGAGUUGUCAAUUGUGCUAAAAGACUAAAAGCUCUAAAAAUAAAAGAAACUAAAGAAAUGUGUUAAAUCUGAAACAAAAGGUAGGAAAAAAAAAACUACGGUAGCCCCAAGUCAUUACCUCUGCACCCUUCGCCGCCGCCGUUGACAAUGGGUUCGCUAUCAUUUAAAAUUCCGAUCAAAUUUUUUUCUUAACCAAAUCAAAACAAAUUUACAUAACAAUUUCGCCAAAAAAGAGUAAAAUUAAUCCAGGCACUAAAUGCGAAAACAGAAAACAGCUUAAAACAAUUUUGCGCGAGUGGAGGACAAAAUUGUAAGCAAAUUAAUCCUCUCCCUUUCUUGACCCUCUUUUUGCUAGUUCUCUCAAUCCCUUUUUUUCCUUUUUUCCUCCGGCUACUUUGUGCAUGUGCCCGAGAUGAGAUCAAAAGAAAUUGCAGAGAGAGAAAGGGGAGAAAUAGGGAGACAUGAAAGUUUUGUUGGGUAGAGAUCGGUUAGGAAGAAUUGUUGGGAAAUAGGGAAGAGAGAGGGAGAGGUGAGAGUUUCCAUGUGAGGCCAUUCGAAAGGGAGAUAGAGACCAUGUAUGUGUGUUUGUGUGACAGAGAAAAUUAAUACACACACAAAAACUUAUAUGAAAAAAGAGGUCGUAGCUGAAUGAAGGAACGGCACAUAAUAUAUUAACAUUAACUAAAACUUCAGAUUUUAUAAAAGAGGCGACAUCACUUAAUGACGAAACGCCAUUUUUUUGAUGAAUUUUUUUUCUUCACUAAAUCAAAACCACAGCAACAAGAAAAUCCAUGAAAAAACCUAAUUUAAGCAGACCGACAAUGUUCAAGUCGCGUAACUAUAUUAACAGUAACUAAAACUUUAGCUUUAAUGAAACAGGCGACAUGACUUAAUGAUGGAACGCCUUUUUUUGAUGAUUUUUUUUUACUCAAUCAAAUCAAAACCUAAAAUUUAAGCAGACCGGCAAUGUUCAAGUCGCGUAACUAUAUUAACAAUGACUAAAACUUUAGAUUUAAUGAAACAGGCGACGUGACUUAAUAACGGAAUGCCAUUUUUUUGCUGAUUUUUUUUACUCAAUCAAAUCAAAACAAAUGCAGCAAAAAAAAUUCAUCAAAAAAACUGAAAUUUAAGCAAGCUAGCAAAGUUCAAGCAGCAUAAAAUAAUUAGCAAACAACUCAAGGUGAAAUUAAAUAAGUGAAAAGUUAUUUUUGUGUGUGUGUGUCGGGUUAAAAAAAAUUAUAGAGAGAGAGAGAGGGAAGAGAUUAGAUUUUUAAUUUUUGAGAGAAGGUGCAAAAGAGGCACAUGCAUCCCUCUUGAACAUAGGCCAUGUGAGUCCAUGUGAUUGGAAGAGAGACACCAUGUGAGGGAGAGAGAGAAAACCCAUAUAAAAGAAAAGCCACGUGGCUCGACGAAUGAACGGCUUGUUUCUUGAAGUUUAAGUUCAUCUUCGAAUUCAAGCCCGCACGGCCCGACUGUGCCGAUUCAGAUUUUUUUUUGCAGAUGAAAUCACUCUACAAUUCACUGCACAAAUUUAAUUGGGUGUACUUUUAAUCUUUCCGACUAUAUAAACUGCCUCUUUAGAUCCUACAGGAAGAAGGAAGUAAAAUUUUUUUUGAGUUGUCAAUUAUGCUAAAAGAUUAAAUAAAAGAAACUAAAGAAAGGUGCUAAAGCUGAAACAAAAGGUAGAAAAAAAAACUAUCCGUUAACAAUAGGUUCGCCAUCGUUUAGAAUUCCGAUCAAAUCUUUUUCUUAACCAAAUUAAAACAAAUUUACAUAACAAUUUCGCAAAAAAAAAGUAAAAUUAAACCAUGCACUAAAUGCGAAAAUAGAAAAACAGCUUAAAACAAUUUUGCGCAAGUGGAGGACAAAAUUGUAAGCAAAUUAAUCAUCUCCCAUUUCUUGACCCUCUUUUUACUAAUUCUCUCCCUCUUUUUUUUUUUCUUUUUCCUCCAGCUACUUUGUGCGUAUGCCCGAGAUGAGAUCAAAAGAAAUUGUAGAGAGAGAGGGGAGAGAUAGGGCGAUAUGAAAGUUCUGUUGGAUAGAGAUCGCUUAGAAAGAAUUGUUGGGAAAGAGGAAAGAGAGAGGGAGAGGUGGGAGUUUUAGUUCGAGAGAGAGGUGUCAAAGGAGCACAUACAUUCUCUGUGGACAUAGAUCCCAUGUGAGGCCAUUCGAAAGGGAGAUAGAGACCAUGUAUGUGUGUGUGUGAGAGAGUAAAUUAAUACACGCACAAAAACUCAUAUGAAAAAAAGAGGUCAUAGCUGAAUGAAGGAAUGCCACAUAAUAUAUUAACAGUAGCUAAAACUUCAGAUUUUAUAAAAGAGACGACGCCACUUAAUGACGGAACGACAAUUUUUUGAUGAAUUUUUUUUUUUCUUCACCAAAUGAAAACCACAACAGCAAAAAAAUUCAUAAAAAAACCUAAAAUUUAAACAUACCGGCAAUGUUCAAGACGCGUAACUAUAUAAAUAGUAACUAAAACUUCAAAUUUAAUGAAACAGGCGAUGUGACUUAAUGACAGAAUGCCUUUUUUUGAUGAUUUUUUUUUUUACUUAAUCAAAUCAAAACAAAUGUAGCAAAGAAAAUUCAUCAAAAAAACUGAAAUUUAAGCAGGCCAGCAAAGUUCAAGCAGCAUAAAAUAAUUAGCAAACUACUCUAGGUGAAAUAAAAUAAGUUAAAAAUUUAAGCAGCUUGGCAAUGCAAAAAAUAGUGCAAAAUAAUCAGGAAAGAAGAGGGGAAAAAAAUAGAGCAAACAAAUUUUUUGUUUUUCUUGACCAUCCUGUUACUGCUUUACUUUCUUUUUUUUUUUCCUUCCUGAAUUCUUUUGUGUGUGUGUGUGUCUUGGGUUAGGAAAAAAUGUUGAGAGAGAGAGGGAAGAGAGAGGAGAGAGAUGACUGUUUUAAUUGGAGAGCAAAUACAUGCCCCCUGGACCCCCUGGACAAAAGGUCAUGUGAGCCUAUGUGUGCGUGUGUGUUGGGAUAGAAAGAAUUGUAGAGAGAGAUGGAAGAGAGAGGGGAUGUAAAAUAGGCAAGUAUAUGGCCUAUGGAUAUAGAAUCCAUUUGGGACCAUGUGAAAAGGAAGAGAGGCCAUGUGAGAAAAAGAAAACUCAUAUGAAAAUUUGACGACGUGGCUCAUCGAAGGGACGUCGUUUGGUUUAUCCUUUAGUAUAAAAGCUAAAAUGUAAGCGGCCCGGCAAUGUUAAAGCAGCGUAAAAUAAUUAAAGUAACUAAAACUUCAAAUUUAAAAAAACAGGCGACGCGGCUUCAUGACAGAGACACAUGCAUCCCCCUUGAACAUAGCCCAUGUGAGUCCAUAUGAGGGAGAGAGACCAUGUGAGGGAGAGAGAGAAAACCCAUAUAAAAGAAAGGCCACGUGGUUCGACGAAGGAACGACAUUUGGUUUCAACUUUAGUAUAGAGUUUAAUUUCAUAUAGGUCCCUACAAAUAUAGUAUAUUCUUAUAAAGUUCAACUUUCAUAUGUUGUUUCUGUAAAAUUUCUUAUGUUUUUAAAUAUGUCCCGACGGUUAAAAUGUGUUAGAAAAUUUUAGUUAAUCAUAGGUUAAAUGCUUAACCAUGGUUAGUUUAUGAGAUAACUUAACAUUUUUGUCCCUCUUAUAUUAUACUGUUGUGAUUUUUGAAAGAGCAUAUUUGUGAUUGGGCACAAGAGAGGGGAUAAGACCUUAUCCCCUUUUGUACCCAAACACGAAUGAUAAAGGUAGGAACAAGUUGUUCCCACCCUUAGGUGGAAUAAGGGUUGGAACAAGCUGUUCCCACCACUAUUUUUUAAAAAAGAUUUAAAUUUAAAAGUUUUAAUUUUAAUUUUAAAUUUUAAAAUUUAAAAUUUAAAAUUAAAAUUUUUAAAUUUACAAUAUGAGAGUUUAAUUUUAAAUUUUAAUUUCAAUUUUUGAAAUUUAAAAGUUAAAAUGUUAAAUUUAAAAUUAAAAUUUUAAAUUUAAAAAUUCAAAUUCAAAUAUAACGAGAGGGAUAAUAUCAUUUUUCUAUUUAUAACUAUCCACUAUUCUUCUUAUUCAAACUUAUUUAUCCAAACGCUAUUUUUCUUAUUCUCAUGAGAAUAAUCAAAUUUUUAUCCAAAUACAAAAUUGGUCUAAUUCUUGUUUAUACAUGAACUUGUACUUAUCCCUGCAAUAAGCAGUUCUUACUUAUAUCCGAACCAAAUAAAGCCUCUCUUUAUGGACAGAUAGGGAUAAGUACUCAAUUUUAAAAUUUUGCAGGAAUAUAAAUGCAAAAUUACGCCCCCGCCCCCCCUACCAAAAAAAAAAUUGCAAUCUCUCUCUCUCUCUCUCUAUAGUGAAAUCGGGUGGCAAUUCAGCUCGCUGUUCACGAGCCAGCUCGUGUUCGGCUCGAAAUGAGAUCGAGAUCGAACCGCUCGUUUAAACGAGCCGAACACGAGCUGAAUUUUUCAACUCGUUUACUAAAUGAGUCGAACAUGAGCUAGGAUCAGCUCACUCGUGUUCGACUCGAUAACGACUCGAAUACAUAUAUUUUAUAUUUAUAUAAUUUAUAUUUUAUAUUUAUAUAUAUAAAUAAAUAAUUAUAUAUAUAAUACAUAUUUUAUUAUUUAAUUUUAAGUCCAAUCUAAAUAUAAAACCUAAUUCAAUUAUAAAAAAAAUCUAUUUAUAUGUAAAAUUUCAACUAUUAAAUCAAAAUCUAACUGAUAAUAUCUUAUCAUUUUACUUUUAUAUAUAUCUUUUCUAAUUUCACGAGCUGAACUUUUUGACUCAAUAUUUUAAUAAACAAGUUCGAAAUUGGCUCAUUUAUAAAAUGAGUCGAACAUAAACACGAACCGACCCUAGCUUACUCGUAUUCGGCUUGUUGACAUCACAGAUUUAAGUGCCGUUGCUCGGAGUCGUACCGAAAACUUGCCGGCACGGUACGACACAGUGCAUGCUCAGCCAUGCCGAUGCGUGCCGGUCAAAAAAAUUUUUGUGUGCCGACACAUAAUAGCAUGAAAUAUUUAUUUCUUUAGUGACAAAAUAUUCUUACUAUUUAUUAUGUUUUUUUAUCAUAGUUUUUGAAUUUUAUUGAGAAAACUACUUACUAAUUUAAAGAAUAGAGAAUUUUGAACUGUGCUAUCGAUAUGGGGUCUGUAUUGUGUCAUAUUUUAUUGGCAUGAUACGACACGGUGGAUAUGAUCUGUGUCGACGGAUAUUUAAAACCUUGGUUGACACCCUUUAGAUUCUCAACCUCACAAACUCUACAUAAUUCUCUCUCUCUCUCUCUCUCUCCACUUCAUUUCAAACUAUACCCCUCACAAGCUCCGCACCACCUAGUACCUACCAGGGUUUCUCGAUAAGGUGGGGCCCACUUCAAUCUCCCUACAUCUUUUUCCCCAAUUUUUUUUUGUAUUUUUUUUUUUAAUUUGCGGUUCAUAAUCUUUAUUUUACUUGUUGAUUUGUUGGAGAAUUUUGGGAAUUUUAUUAAUUUAAGUCGUAAUCGCUACGCCCUGGAUGAUUCAGUGAGUGAAGUGGUGGAGUAAUUAGAGUGGGGAAAAAAAGGUUUUUUUUUUUAUUUUAAGGUACUUUUCGCAUUAAAUGUAGCACUGUGUGCAAAUAUCGGAUUAAUUUUGUUAUUUUAAUGGGUUAUUUUAGCAAAAAUUUAAUCAUUUUUAUCAUGUUCUUAGUGGAUUCUAAGCAAAUAUUCAAAGCAAAUUAGUUAGUAAGAUUCUUAAAAUGUUGAAAAUAAUUAGAACAAUAAUUUGUUUAUGCUCAAAUAGUAAAAAAUUAGGUUAAAAGAGAUCAGUUUUAGUAUCUGCUUUUACAUAUUUCCAGUAAUUUCUCUUCUUUUUUUUUUUUGGUCUACAAUUUUUUUUUCAUUUCUUAUUUGCUUCACAUCUUAAUUUGGGAAUUUUAUUACUUUAAGGUGUAAUCACUACACCCUAGAUGAUUCAGUGAGUGAAGUGGAGGAGUAAUUAGAGUGGGAAAAAAAGAGGGUUUUUUGAUGGUAUAUUUCGCAUUAAAUGUAGCACUGUGUGCAAAUAUAGGAUUAAUUUGACUAUUUUAAUGGGUUAUUUUAAAAAAAAAAUUAAUUAUUUUGAUCAUGUGCUUUGUUGAUUCUAAGCAAAUAAAUUGGUUAUAUAUUUGUUAGUGAAUUCAAAGCAAUUUAGUUAGUAAGAUUGUUAAAAUGUUGAAAAUAAUUAAAACAAUAAUUUGUUAAUGCUCAAAUAAUAAAAAUUAGGUAGAAGGAGAUUAAUUUUAGUAUCCACUUUUACACAUUUCCCAGAAAUUCCUACUUUUUUUUGGUCUAACAUAUAUUUUUUUCCAUUUCUUAUUUGCUUCAUAUGUUAAUAUGUUUUGUAAAUUGUUACUAUGAUUAAAGAUAAUAAAUAAUUCAGAGAGCAAAUAGAUUUCAUAGCCUAUAAUUAAUUGGUUUCUGCACAAAAUAUGAAAAUUUAUGUGCAAAUUAAGUUUGAAGAUAAUUUUUAGUGACAUUUUCUACAUAAUUUUUUGAAAUUUCUUUUUCUCACUUUAAUAUCUUUGUUUCUUUCUUAUUUGCUUCAUGUCAUAAUAAUGUUUUGUUACUGCUCAACUUUAUAUUUCUUAUCAAAUUCUAAGUAAUCCAGGUAGUAACAUUUUUGCAAAUUACAAUGAUGGAAAUAAUAAGCAAUUUAGAUCGGAAACGACUUCAUGUGUAUAAUUAAUGGUCUUUUUCUGCAUAUUUUUAGGUGUUUUUUCCCCCUCUCUAUACAGAUUUUUUUACUUCUUGUUUGCUUCAUAUCUUAAUAAUAUUUUGUAUCGCGAUCAACAAUUCUAUUUUGCAGGUUUAGACAUUGUGUGGUUUCGUAAAAGUUUCUUCUGUAAUUGAGGAGCACUGAAUAAUUUGAGCGAAAAGCAUGAAUCCCUACAUAGUUGGCAUAUUUGUACCUGUUAUAUUAUCCUUGAUGUUACGAAAGAGGAAGGAUAAUAAGAAGAGGGGAGUACCGAUCGAUGUUGGCGGAGAACCUGGAUAUGCUAUUCGUAAUUACCGUUUCGCCACUCCCGUGGAGUCGCAUUGGGACGGAGUAUCCACACUUGCUGAGUUAUUUGAGAUGUGCUGUACAAGAUAUGCCCACACGCCUCUGUUCGGAUCGAGAAAAUUGAUUUCGAGGGAGAUUGAAGUGAAUUCGGAAGGGAAAUCAUUUGAGAAGCUCCAUCUGGGUGAUUAUGAGUGGUUAAGUUACGGCGAGGCGUUUAAUGUAGUGUGUCAUUUUGCGUCUGGGUUGGUGCAAAUUGGGCACGGAAAGGAUGAACGCGUCGCUAUUUUUGCCGAAACUCGAGCUGAGUGGCAGAUUGCUUUACAGGUAACAGUGGGCAGUGGAUGCUAAUAAAACUUUAGCUGUUUAGAAAAAGGUUUCCUUGUAAAUUAUUCGGUUUUUGUUUAUUUACAAAUGAAAGAAUACUUUUCCUCAGAAAACAUGAACUAAGAUUUUGUAGUAUCAUUUCUAUGGAGAUUCUGAAAUUUGUUUACUGCCGAUGUGACUUAUGAUCACAUUUUUACUACUUUUUCUUUUUUAGUUGCUAAUACUUGUAUGUCGUUUUUCGUACAAUAGGGUUGUUUUAGGCGAAGUAUCACGGUUGUCACUGUAUAUGCUUCUUUGGGGGAGGGAGCUCUUUGCCAGUCAUUAAACGAGGUUUGCGCUCCUACCAUGUUUAGUAUUAUUGUAUUAUAUCAUAGUGUCGAUCCUACAGUUUACAUUAAUGUAUCUUUUAAAACUUUCCCUUCUUGUUUAUUACUUUACAUUUGAAAGUGAUCAUUUCAUCUUCUGUUAUUCGUUUUUCAGCUCUUCGUGGUUUUAUUUCUUCUGAAAUGCAUCAUUUAAAUGCGAAUCCUUCCUUCUGUUGACUCUCCUUAUUGGCUAUUCAGACUGAGGUUACAACUGUAAUUUGCGGACCUAAAGAAUUGAAGAAGCUGAUUGCUAUAAGUGGACAACUCGACACGGUAAAAAGUGUAAUAUAUAUGAACGAGGAGGGAGUCUCGUCUGACGUCUCCUCGGCCGAGAAGAACACUAACUGGAAAAUCGUACAAUUUGAGGAAGUUGUGGAAUUAGGAAAGGAAAAUCCUGCUGAUGCUGAUUUGCCUGCCUCAGCUGACAUUGCUGUGAUCAUGUACACUAGUGGCAGCACUGGCGUGCCGAAGGUUCGUUUUAAUUCGUUUUAAUUUAAGUUAGUUUCUGCAUUUGACGAUAUUUUGUCUAAAUUUCGCAAAACAUCCCUGAAAAUUGGUGACAUUUCUACAUUUUCCCUCUGAGUAACUAAAAACGUACAUUUAACCUCCUCAGUGUUUAGAGCUUGUAACUUAAGUCCAUUCGUGUCAGAUUCUUCAUUUGGGAAUUGGGGCGUAGAAAUGCGUAAUCUUAGAAUAUGAUAUGAAUACCCAUUACACUACUUUUCAUGAUCGAAAAUGAUCAUAUUCUAAGAAUUUUCUUUAAAUUCUUAUUGGCGAAUCUGAUAGGAAGGGACUAAGAGCUAGUACUCCAAAUAUGGAGGGGGUUAAAUGUAGGCGAAUGGCGCUUGUUUAUACAAGCCUAACUUGCUUGUUUUUGGCUUCUUGUGAUGUAGGGAGUAAUGAUGACACAUCACAAUGUGCUAGCUACAAUUUCAGCUGUUAUGACCAUCGUCCCCGACAUCGGAAAUAAUGAUGUAUACAUGGCAUACCUGCCAUUAGCUCAUAUACUCGAGCUAGCAGCCGAGGUAAGUUAGAAUCAUUAGUGCCUUUAUGGCUUGGCUCUUAGAACAACUUCUCUACUCUAGAAAGCAGCAGCUGAGUAUUCGGCAGACGAAAGGUCUGUAGCUUUUGCUGUGGUGGGAUGCUAAAUUGAGCCUCUUCCCAGAAGUAAAAGCUCCUACUUUGAAGUUUCUGCUUCUGCUGCAGGCUGUGGGGAAUCUUGGGAUGGAUAUUAUGAAUAAGUUGUUACUGCUUUUUCUUGCAGUGUUAUGUAAAAGCACUUUUCCUAGUAUUGCUAACCAAAUAUAUGUGUGGCUAACGGUCUUCUGUGCAGGCUGUAAUGGCUGCAAUCGGAGGCGCUAUAGGGUAUGGUUCACCUCUGACUCUUAGUGAUACAUCAAAUAAGAUAAAAAAGGGAACAAAAGGCGAUGCCUCAGUGUUGAGACCCACCCUUAUGACUGCUGUGCCUGCCAUACUCGACCGUGUUCGUGACGGUGUGCGGAAAAAGGUGGUGAUUUUUUCUCUUUUGUCAUUUGGAUAUAGUAGCGUUUUUCUUCAGUGAAGUGUACGGAUUGUUUCUGUGCAAUUUCAGAACUUUUCACUGAAAGUAGUCUAGUCCUUGAUGUUUGCUUCUUUUCACAAUUAUAUCUCUCUAACCCCAUCUUGCGGUCCAAAAUCUGUGAUUCUGUUAUGUCAAAAUGCGCUGCAUGUCACCUUUCUUCUUAUGAAAUGACCAUUUUAACCUAUUUCAAUGUAAAAUAACUUUCUUUUUCAGUCUAUAGAGAAUGAAGUUAACAUGGUAAAUCUACAAUGCAUAAAAAGGGUCAUGUGCGGAGCACGUGCUAACAUAUGUUGCAUGGUGAACAGGGUUGCAAAACUGAAACUUUUGAGUCAUCGUUGGGCAAUUGCUGUCUGAAAAAUAGUGUAAGAAGGGACAACGGAUUGCUUGCAAUCCUGACAUCUAAGCUGUUUGUUCGGCAACGAAAAGCCAGUAGACAAGAAUAAAAAUAAAAAACGGCAAUGAUGUCAAAUGAGGCCUAAAUUACUGACUUACUUUAAGUGAAAACUUCGAAGAUUACACUACAAUAGCAUGGAAAAUACGAGGACUGCCAUACAUUUUACCUUUUAAAUUCUUUUUUUACUCCUAUAUAUUGACUGCUAUUAAUUUUCUUCACACUAUUUUAGGUAGAUGAAAAGGGUGGCAUUGCAAAGAAACUAUUCGAUAUCGCUUAUAGUCGUCGUUUAGCGGCUAUUAAUGGAAGCUGGUUUGGUGCAUGCGGGCCAGAGAAGCUAUUGUGGGAUGUUCUCGUCUUCAAAAAGGUUUGUGCUAUUUAUUUUUUAUUUUUUCUUUUUUAUCUUUAUUGUAGUGCAAUAUUUAUUUUAUCUUAUUUUAGUUUAUUUUGCGACUAAAGGUUCGUGCGAUAUUGGGGGGUCGCAUUCGUUUUGUACUCUCUGGAGGAGCUCCUCUCUCUGGAGAUACACAAAGAUUCAUCAACAUAUGCCUUGGGUUAGUAAAUGAUUCCUUUUGAAAAAAAAUUUUAUUCUAUUUUAUUUUAUUUUAUUUUAUUUGGCGAAACAGUUCAAAGUUUAAAAGAAAAACAACACAAUGUCCUACGCAUCACAGAAUCAUUACCGAAAUUGAUCUCCAGGAAUAUAAGUUACUAUUUCAUUAGGAAAAUUUAGUAUUACAUAUCAUGAAGUUGAAAUGUUCUUAAUUAAUAAUUAGUUCAUCUGCAUAAGCAUAUUACCUACAAAAUUGCUCCGUUUUAAAGCGCUCACCUAAUACAACACCAACUCCCUCGUGUGUUGGAUUACUGACAGCAUGUAUUUUUGUUUCACCGAAUAUUCAUGCUGUCGAAUAGGGUAGCAAAUUGGAAUUUAUUAAAAACCACGGGGUAAUACCAGUGGCGGAUCUAGAAAUCUUCUCUCAUGAGGUCAAUACAUAAGGGAGAAAAAAUAUACAAUUUUUUUUAAAAAAAGUAAAUUAGUCAUUAGGCUAGGGCUACUAUGCUCUUAUGAGUAUAGAGCACUUCGUACUCAUAAGUUGUUUUCGAUGAUGGAGCUUCCGAAUCGGCGAUUCACUCUGUUAAAUAUGAUCUAGAGUAUUUGAAACUUUUAGAAAAUAAAUUUCGUAAUUUUUCGAAGUCAUAAUAAAGUUCAUCAAGCGGGUAUAAAAUGAACGGCAAAAUCGAAAGACGCCUUAAAAAUGGAUGAUCGGAUCCUCCAAUUUAAGAUCGGAAUUAUUGAUCUUUAUCUAUGUAGUGAAUGGAAUUUUCUAUCAAAAGUUCAACUGAUUUCGAUUCUUUUACACCGUUAAACUAUCAAAUAUCCCAUACCGGCCGUUAAAAUUUGUCACUUUUGUGACCUUUUGAUCGUAAGGUAAUGAUGUCGAAAAAUUAUAAAAUUUGAUUUCUAGACAUUUUAAAUGCUCUAGAUAACAUUUAACAGUGUGGAUCGUCGAUUCGGAAGCUCUAUCAUCGAAAACAACUUAUGAGUACGAGGGCGAUCGUACUCACAAGAGUAUAGUAGCCAGACUCUUAGUCAUUAAUAUUGUAUAAAAAAAUAUUAUUUUGUUUUAGAAUUGUUCUUUACGUGUUUUCAUAUUCUGAAAAUGGUGCAUGAUAGCCUCAUUAGAAACACUGUCAAAUACGCAAUAAUCGUUCAUCAAUUGAUUCAAUAUGAUUAGAAGAGAUAAAAAGGAGGAAGAUUAUGUAGGAUAAAGAAGACUAGGGUUUUUUAUAUUACAAUCUUUUUUAACUUUUUGCUACUGCAAAGGAAAAAAAAAAAGAAAAAGGUGUUAGUGGGUUAUCCGACCCGCUAUAGCUCUUUUAUCUAAAACAAAAAUUUUGUUGGACCCCACUUGGGGUCAACUUGGACCCCAUAGUGGGAUCAACUUAUGCAAAAAGGGGCAACUAAAAGGCCAAAAAAUGCAAGUGGGACCCACUAAAUGGGUUUUUUGCAACCAUCCCCCAUUGAGAAACAUAUGCAUCCGCCACUGGGUAAUACCCUGUUUAACGAUAAGUCCAUAUAGUGAAACAGACAGAAUUAUUUAGUGUGACUUUUUAAACCAUAGUAUGGCAGAGUGAUAAUGCGCUAAACCACAAGAUACAUGCAACAUUUUUAACCAUAGGGUGGCAAAAUGAAGAUGCGCUAAACCACAGGGGCGCAAAUUGAAAUUUACCCUAUUUUAUAAUAUAUAAUUUUGAGGGUCACAGAAAAAACUUCAAUUUCACGGCCAUUAUAAUUUGAUUGUGGUUUUUUCAGGGAUAAAUACUAGAAUCCCCUUGCAUAUGUGUGUGUGAAACCCUUGGAUCAAUACAAAGCUUUUAAUUUUAACCUACUUGUAUGUCCAGGGCUCCAAUAGGGCAAGGAUAUGGUCUAACGGAAACUUGCGCUGGAGGGACAUUUUCGGAAUUCGACGACACAUCAGUUGGCCGUGUUGGCGCUCCACUUCCUUGUUCAUACAUCAAGGUACGAAAGAAAAUAUUUCGCUAGUUUCUUUGACAUCGACGAUAUAUUACGAUCAAAACGGAAGUAAACGGAGUCAUUCACUUCCACGUCAAUUAUGGAGAUAGGACAUCUCAAUUAAUGAUCGGCUCCAUUAAACAUGAUUUAGGCUAUUCAAACUUUAUAGAAACCGAAUUUCACAAUCUUACGAUAUGAUUUCUCUAGUAAUCGAACGGUGUCGAAAUCAUCUUAUACUAGCCAUUAAAAAUUGUAAAUUUUUGAACGACUUGAAAAUUGGGCAAAUAAUAUCGAAAAACUAUAAAAUUUGGAAUUUAGAAAGUUGAAAUAUCGCAGAUCCUGUUUAAUGGUCUCGAUCGAAACGUAUAAUCAUGCCCGUGGGCUCCUAGAUUUAUUUUUAGGGAAAACUUCAAAUACCCCCAUUGUGGUUUCACUUUUUUUCACUUUAGUACCCUGUGGUUUAAAGUGUAUCAAGUUAGUACCCUGUGGUUUUGCACUUUCUCACUUUAGUACCCUGUGGUUUAAUAUUUCAUUAAGAGAAAAAUAAAACUAUAGGAUACUAACUUGAUACAAAAAUAAAACCACAGGGUAUUAACUUGAUACAAAAAUAAAACCACAGAGUACUAACUUGAUACACUUUAAACCACAGGGUAUUAAGUGAGAAAAUGCGAAACCACAGGGUACUAACUUGAUACACUUUAAACCACAGGAUACUAAAAUGAAAAAGUACGAAACCACGGGGGGUUUUUUGAAGUUUUCUCUUAUUUUUAUACAUAAUAACCUUUCCCUUUUCCUUUUCCUCAUUUACCAUCUCAAUCAUCAUACGACAUCUAUGGUUAUUAACAUGUUUGAGGUGAUUUUUGCGUAUCAGUUAAUUGACUGGCCAGAGGGUGGAUAUUUAAUAACUGAUUCGCCGAUGCCUCGAGGGGAAAUAGUCAUCGGGGGACCGAAUGUUACUGUGGGCUACUUCAAAAGGGAGGCAAAAACUAAAGAAUCCUACAAGGUAACCUACUAGAUAUAUGCGAGUCGCGUAAUUUUGGGUCUAUUUUUUUGUACAUACAUGCCUCCUACAAGCAUGUAAAAUUGUGCAAAUAAAGAGUUACACACACAAAUCAUAACUAUACUGAAAUUUUUAUGCAAUUUUCCAAAUAUAUGGAGGUACUUCGCAAAUAAUUUUUUUCUUUUUUUUAAGACUAAUCACAAAGCAUUAUGUCUUAUAAAAAAGGUCGAUGAAAGAGGUAUGCGGUGGUUUUACACCGGCGAUAUUGGGCGUUUUCACCCGGACGGUUGCCUCGAGAUCAUCGAUCGUAAAAAGGAUAUCGUAAAACUCCAACACGGUGAAUACGUCUCUCUCGGAAAGGUGUGUAUUUUAAUUGCAUCAUUUCAAAAAUUUUACAAAUAAAUGUUCCAUUUCAUGUAUAAGCCCUUAUCAUAAGUUGGCGAAUCAUGCAUUUCAUGAUGGAAGGAAUUCAUAUAUCUUGUACUUAGUGCUUACGAGUGUGCUUCUUUUAUAAUUUGUUUUGCAAAUUAAAAUCGUAAUCGCAGGUGGAGGCGGUUUUAAUUGGGAGCCCGUACGUCGACAACGUCAUGGUGUACGCAGAUCCGUUCCACAGCUACUGCGUCGCGCUCGUCGUAGCUGCUCGAAGUGAAUUAGAAAACUGGGCUUCGAAGCAAGGAAUCAAAUAUGGCGAUUUCUCCGAUUUAUGUCAAAAACAAGAAGCUGUCGACGAAGUGCUCAGAUCAUUAGUGAAGGUUUGUAUAUCCUACUUAAUUUUUGUUUAGAUGAACAUAAAUGGAAGUGGCUUUUACAUCUAUAUCCCUGCAAAAUUACCUACUUACAAUUUUGAUCACAUAAGCAUGGAAUAUAAGGGUCUUUUGACAUGUAUGCCCUUGCAAAAUUAUCUAUUUACACAUACACCACAUUUUAAAUUUGAAUUUUGUUGUGACCCCUUGAAAGUGUAGUUUCUUACAGAAAAUACCCUUAUCUUAUCUUAAGUCUAAGUACUCAUUGAACUAAUGGUGUAGUUGCUUUUUGUGUGAAUAAGAUCUCUAAAGACGUAUUAUUUCAUUAGGAAGGAUUGUGAGNUUAAAAGCAUAGGAGCUCAAUUAUAUAUAUAUAUAUAUAUAUAUAUAUAGAGAGAGAGAGAGAGAGAGAGAGAGAGAGAGAGAUGAGCUCCUGUGCUUUUAAAAGCACAUGAGCUUAAUGUGCUUGUGAUUUUUUAGCUAUUGAUCGCCUCAAGAUCCAUGUAGCACUAGCAAAGGAGAGUUAACUGAACAUAUCGUUAAUAAUGGUACACGGAUCUUGAGGCGAUCCGAUAGCUCAAAAGUCACAAGCACAAAUGCUCCUGUGCUUUUAAAAGAACGGGAGCUCAACUAUAUAUAUAUAUAUAUAUGAGUAGGACUUGUGUGUCAUUAGGAGAAUGGAGCCCUCCGUGCUCCUAAAUUGUUUUUGAUGAUUAUUCCGAAUCGAUGACCGAUUCUGUUAGACUUGAUCUACCAUAUUUGAAGUAUCUAAAAAAUAAUUUUUGCUAUUUUUCGAUAUCAUUUACCUAACGAUCGAAAGGGUUCAAAAUCAAUAAUUUUUAAUGGUUGAUGUGUGCCGUUCGCAAGUUUAACGAUAUAAAAGUAUUCAAAUUAGAUGGAAUUUUGAUAGAAAAUUUUGUAUACUAUCUACAACAAGAUUAGUAUCUCUGAUCGAAAAUUUUAGUGCUACAUUAUAAUUUUUUGUAAGAUUUUUAUUUUCUACUGUCUAUUUUGAGUCCUUCCGAUUAUUAGAUAAAUGAUAUCGAAAAGCUACGAAAUUUGUUUUCUAAAUAUUUCAAAUACGCUAGAUCAAGUUUAACAAAGUCGAUCGUCGAUUUGGAAGUUUUAUUAUCGAAAAUGGCUUAGGAGCACAGAGUAGCACACGAGUCCUACUCUAUAUAUAUAUAUAUAUAUAUAUAUAUAUAUAUAUAUAGUUUAUAAAUUUUCGGGAGAUAUGUACAAUCAAAAUGAAAUUAUGCCAGUAACAAUAUGGUGUUUAUGUAAAUUCAGGUCGCGAAGCAGGCGAAUUUGGAUAAAUUCGAGAUUCCGUCGAAGAUCAAACUGCUUCAUGAGCCAUGGACGCCGGAAUCCGACCUCGUAACCGCCGCGCUCAAGCUCAAGAGAGAAGUCAUCAGAAAAGUGUUCGCCGACGAUCUCGCAAGCUUGUAUACCUGAUUUCAAGGUUUUUUUUUUUGGGGGGGGCUAAAUUACAGAAAAACUCCUCGUAAAUACCUGUUUUUUCACUUUCCCUCCAUAACUUUCAAAAAAUCUACUAUAUUUCAAGUUGUUGCAUUAGCUUUCCUCUGUUAGAGUUUUACUACUAUUUCGUCCAUUUCUUAUAAUUUAUACCGCAAAUACCCUUCAAAAUGAUAGAAAUAUAUUAAAAAAUUAUUUUUUUUACUUAUAAAAAGAAGGAAGGGCAAUUUGAUCAUUUUGUCCUCUCCAUUAACGCCAUAUCCCUCUGAAAAUGUUUCUGAAAUUAUAAGGGAGUAAAAUGUAGGUUUUUAAAAGUCAGGGAAGGAAAGUGAAAAAGGAGAUAUUUAUUUACUGAGAGGUCUUCUAGAAUUUAGUUUUUUUUUUUUUUGGUUUUCUAGAGUUGAGGAGAACUCUAGGGUUUAUAGAGGAUUGUAGCUAGAUGUAUUUGGUCUGUUUAUUGGCUUUUUCCUAUUUGGGUAAACUUCAAAUACCACUCAUGUGGUUUCGCACUUUCUCACUUUAGUACCAUGUAGUUUAAAAUGUAUCAAGUUAGUGUCCCGUGGCUUCAUUUUUAUUUUUUCGUCAGCUUUUUCGUUAAUAUUUCGUUAAAUUAUAUACAAAAAACUGCAUAGAUACCCCACCUAGGUUUAUCGAAUAUUUACUUUAGUACCCUUUAAUUUUAAGUUUGUCACUAAUUUAACAAAAAAAAUUAGGAAAAACUUCAAAAAACCUCUAUGUGGUUUCGUAGUUUCUCACUUUGCCCCCUUGUGGCUUAAAAUGUAUCAAUUCCCCCCCUGGUUUCUUUUUUCUCUUUUUCUUAUCAAUUAUAUAUAUUUUUUUUCUUAAAUCAGUGAUAAAGUUAAAAUUAAAGGGUACUAAAGUGAAUAUUUGAUAAAUCUAGAUGGGUAUCUGAAGUUUUUUGUAUAUAAUUUAAUGAAAUAUUAACGAAAAAGUUACCGAAAAGAUAAAAACGAAACCACGGGAGGGCAAUUUGAUACAUUUUAAACCACAAGAGGCAAAGUGAGAAACUACGAAACCACGGGGGGUUUUUUGAAGUUUUUCUAAAAAAUUAAUAGAAUCGAUAAUAAAAAGAUACAAAAAAAAUUACAGGGCACUAAAUUAAUAUAUUUUAAACUACAGGGCACUAAAGUGAGAAAGUGUGAAAUCACAAAAACGGUAUUUGAAGUUUUUUUUUUUUUUUCAUGUUUUAUUCAUGUUGUAUUAUAUAUUGCUCACUAGUUUGGAGUUUAAUGUUAACCAGAGAAUUGCUAAAAUCAUCUGAGAAAUGGUUGGAAUGAGCUUUUUGGAAAAGCGCUAAUAACUUUUUUUUCUCCAAAAUUUAAAAGUUUUUCAUAACAAUCUCUUGAUGCCGUAAGAAGUAAAAACUUGGAGAUGAUUCUUCUAUUUUUAAGAUUGAAAAGUUUAUUCCCGCUUAAAAAACAUAGUUAAACAAAAAAAAAAAAAAAAUCAAUUUUUUUUUGUCGACAUUUCACUUCUAUUUCUUAGAUGAAGAAGCAUUUUGUUAUGUUUGUGUUCUCUGAGAGAGAUUUUUUAUACUAUCAUGUGCAGAAACUUUUAUGCACGGUAACAAUCGCGUCGCUCAUCAAUGGCAAAAUUUUAUCAGCACUGUUUAAUUCGGCAUCAUCCAAUCCAAGUUGUUUUUAUCCUCUACUUGUAAUAUCUAAUUUUUUUUAGGUGCUAACUUCAAAUAUCUCCCUUAUGGUUUCGCACUUUCUCACUUUAGUACCAUGUGAUUUAAAGUAUAUCAAUUUAGUACCUUGUGGUUUCAUUUUUCUCUUUUCGUCAGCUUUUCUGUUAACAUUUCGUUAAAUUAUAUAUAAAAAACUUCAGAUACCCAUUUAGAUUCAUCGAAUAUACACUUUAGUGCUUUUUAAUUUUAACUUUGUCACUGAUUUAACGAAAGAAAAAUUAGCGGAAGGAAUAAAAAAAAGAGAAAAAUGAGACCACGGGGUAGUAAAUUGAUAAAUUUUAAAUCACAGGGCACCAAAGUGAGAAAGUGUGAAACCAACUGGGUGAUAUUUGAAAUUUUUCCAAUUUUUAAACUAAAAAUUUAAAGAAUUUUUGUAAACCCUAAAAAUUUUCAAUGUAAGAUUUAUACCCAGCAAAAUGUGCACAAGUAGCAUUUUUCUUUGUUGUAAUUAUUAUGGAAGGAUAUAGUAAAACAUGUACACCUAUGAAUUUAGAUACAAAAUGUGAAAAAUAAAAAAAAGUGGUGUUUUUUUAAAUUGGCUUUUAAAAGCCCCUUUAAAAAUAUAGGUUUUGGGAUGAUUUAAUUUAGAAUGUUUUUUUCUUGGUAAAAAAAUCAAAAUAAAAAACCUUAAAAAAAUGUGUAGAAAUUAAAUUGCAAAAAAGACCCCAACCUUUUUCCUGUUUGCAAAUGGGCAUCUCAGCUUUUACUUUUAGCGAUUAGAUUUUUUUUUUUUUGAAAACUUUUAUUGAAUAGUAAAACAUUAUUAUCAAAUAGGAUAAUAAAUUAAUUUUUCUUAAAAAAUUAUAGAAUAAUAAUAUCCUAUUCAACAAUAGAUUUUUAUAGUGAAAUAAAAAUAAUGCUAAUUGUGACUUUUUGAAUCACGAGGUGGUACGUAAAAAUAUACUAUACUACAGGGUAGUUAAGUGCAAUUUCUGAAAUUACAGGAUAGUAAAGUAACAAUACUCUAUACCACAGGGGGCACAUUAAUUUUUACCCAAUUAAAUACGUACCUCAUGAUUGGACGGUUGAGAUGCGAAGCCGCAAAUUGAGAAUUUGCGGUGGGGAUCGCCUGAUACGAUGAUUCUAGAAAAUGGUGGGCCCCACACUCGAUCCAGUGAAUCUGGGACGUCCAUCUCCAAAUGGACCGCUAGGGUUAGGUCCGUUAGGAACGUUACAGAUCUUUAUCAAAGAAAAAUGCAUGCCUAGUCCCUGUGCUAUCCGGAUAUUACAAUACCGUCCCUGUGCUUUCUAAUUAAGUCCUGUUACAUAUUGUUACUUUCUUUUUGGGGUUUAUCUAAAAAUAAGUUUGGGUAAUUUGCAUAAAAAAUCCACUGGUUUUGCGUUUUUGUAAAAAUAAAUCACUUUUUAAAUUUUUUACGGAUUAAAUUUAGAUUUUUUAGUAAACAGACCGAAACAACCUUAUUACUAUUUACUAUUUCUAUCUCCUUUCUCUCCUAUUUGUUUUUCUCCUUUCUUUUUGUCCUUUUUUUUACGUUAUUUUCUUUUUUUCUCCUUUUUUUUUUUUUCCUCCUCCUCCACAUCCGGUCGAUGAUGCACUCAUCUCUCCUAUCUCGCACGUCUAGGGAUGCAAACAGGACUAAUCCAAGGGCGGGAGGGUUUCCCCACCUCCCGCUCCAUUUCUUGUCGGAGCGGGACGGAUUCGGGAUGGGUUAUUUUUCAUUUUACUUUUGGCUCUCACUUACCGCCCUAUUUAAGGCGGAUCGGGGUAGAGGCGUAUUUUUGGCGGAUUUUUGACGAAUCGAGACGGAUUGAAGGAAGAAAAGGAUCUCCUGCUUCUAGCUUCAUUUACUUUGCGGAUUCGGGGCGGGUUAUAUAUUUUUAUAUUUUUUUGGGAAAACUUCAAAAAUCCCCCCUGUGGUUUCGUAGUUUCUCACUUUGCCCCCCUGUUAUUUAAAAUAUAUCAAUUUGUCCCCCUGUGGUUUUAUUUUUCUCUUUUCUUAUCAAUUUCAUUAUUUUUUUUCCUUAAAUCAGUAAUAAAGUUAAAAUUAAAGGGUAUGAAAGUGAAUAUUUGAUAUGAUAAAUCUAGAUGGGUAUCUGAAGUUUUUUGUAUAUAAUUUAACGAAAUAUUAACGAAAAAGCUACCGAAAAGAUAAAAACGAAACCACAGGGGGGCAAAGUGAGAAACUACGAAACCACAUGGGGUUUUUUUGAAGUUUUUCCUAUUUUUUUAUUCCUACUUACUCCCCCAUUCAGGGCGGAUUGGGGCAGAAGCUCCACCAACCUGAAUCCAUUUGCAUCCCUAUGCACAUCUUUGCUGAAACUGAUAGCAGCGCGGUAUCUGAUAUGGCACAGAUCAUCGUUUUCUCUCCCUCCUUCUUCUUUACUGCCCCCACAUCGACGUCACACUCCUCUCUCCUAUCUCGCCCACACCUUCGUCAACGACGGGAAGACACUUUCAUCAACGCAGGUGGCAGCGACGCAGGCUCAAAUAUGAUAAAAAUUGCAGAGGUGAGGCUAUAGCGAAAGGUAUGGCAGCAAAUGACGAUGACAACGCAGGUGCCGUAGGAUUUGAAAAUAACAGAAAAGAGAGCCCGUCGGGAUCGAGAUAGCUGCUAUAGCAAAGUGCUAAGGAGGGAGCGUAGUAGGAAAAAAAAAUACAGAGAGUGGAAGAAGGCCACCAUGCGCCACGACCGCUACAGAGAAUGCCAAAAAGUAGAAAAAAAGAGAAAAAUUGCAUUGUUUGAGACUAAAUUGCGCUGUAUGGUAUUUAACUACUUUAUCAGAGUAUAUAUAAUUUUUUCAAAUAUAAGUUGACUCUUUUUUUAUACUUUAUAAGUCGAUUCUGCUAAUCAAAAAUUCUUUUACUCGAUAACUUCAUAUAAAAUCUGAGGAUACACACAUGAUUCAUAAAUUUAAGCUUAUAUAGGAGCUCAAAUUUCAAGCGUUUUAAUAUAAUUUUUUUUAUAAUUCAUUAACUUAGGGACUAAAAUGUAAUUUAAAUACUAUAAAUGUAAAUGAAAAAAAUAAAGUGUUUCCAUGAAAACUACAUGUAUCAAGACGUAAUAUCGGGAUAAUACAGGGACCGGCCCUACAAUUUUACCCUCGUUUUCUCUUCCCCCUCCUCUCUCUCUCUCUCUCUCUCUCUCUCUCUAACCCUCCCAUUUUGGAUUUUAAUGGCUUCAGGUAAUUUUUUUUUCCUUUUUUUUGGUUAAAUUUUCCUGUUAGGCUUUUGCUAGAACCAAAAAUUCUACUAAAAUUGGAUUUAUCUUAUCGUUUUUUUUUUUUUUGGGUUUUUGGGCGCAUCGACUUCUCAGGAAAACAAGGAAGAGUUAUUUUUUUCUUUUUUUGGUGAUUUUUGGUUUUAGGAAGCUGUGAAUCGAAAUGGAUUUUUAUGUGAUGGGGUCGAACAAGCACUAAAUUUGAGAAAAAUUGGAUUUGGGUUCUCAUAAAAAUUGUAUUCUUUCGCAUGAAACUUCUAUGAUUAGGUCAAGCAAGCCCCAAAAUUUGAUAAAAUUUUGGCCGAAUUGUUUAAAUUUUUCAGUUUGUGGAUUGGGGAUAUCAUAGAAGUUGAAUCUUUUGCGUGAAGCUUCUGUGAUUAUGUCAAAUAAGCCCUAAAUUUGAGAAGUUUUUUGCUAAAUUGUUCAAUUUUUGAGUUGUUGGAUGUAGACUCUCAUAAAAAUUGAAUCUUUCUCAUGAAACAGAUAAUUCUCAGUUAGUAGUUGGUUUAGUUCCCAUCAUGUUGGAGUUAGAACACAUGGGAUUUGAAUAUGAAAUUAAUAAUUUCCCUUUUUUUCCAUUUUCUAAUUUUCCCUGUUGUAAAAAUUUUAGCAUAUGGUAUCUCUUAGAACUCCUUUUCAUAACAUAAAGCUCCUUGUAUAUUCUUAAUUUUAUGCUUAUGAUGAUGUUUUUUUUUUCUUCUUUUUUUUUUUGGGUUAUAGAUAUCUCAGUAGCAGUUCCUUCAGAAUGUAGCCCAUUUUCUCGGUCCCAAACCGCAAAAACACUUGCAACAGAGAGACCCUGGUUGAGUAAGUUUUCAAUUUUUCUUAUUUUGUUUUUUGUUUUUUGUUUGAAUUAGUUCCAGCUAAGUUUUACAGUAAUUACAAGGUAGUACUUGACACUUGCUAUGCUAUCUAUUUUAUUUUCCCUUUACUUUUUUUGUCGCCUUCGUAGUAGUAGGAUAUACUUGGCCCCUUUACACCGGAAUAACUGAUUACAAAAGUAAAUUUUGUGUUUAAUUUGAUAUCGUAGGAAUGAAAAUAAUGAUUGGGAGGAUAAAUGUAACAUCACGAGGAAUAAGAGAAUUCCAUGGAUUUUUAGAAUUCUAGUUCCCGUGUUAUACUAGAAUAACCCGGUUUGACCAGAACAGCCGUCCAUUUGUUGCAUUUGGCGCCAAAAGUUGCCUAACUUUUCUCACUAGAGGCUUUCGUCCGUCGGUUUACUUAAGUUUAAGAUGUCAAGGUCUUGGUUGUGUAAAUGCUAAGAUAUGCCUGUUUAUCCGUCUCUAAUCCUUUGCUUCGCCUCUCAGAUCUUUAUGGUGUUAGGGUUCGGCCUGUAGCUCCUUUCGAAAGUCUCAGCGGCAAGCGCUUUGUUGAUCCGGCCCUUAUUCAUCGUUGUUUGCCAGAUGAGUUGCUCUUUGAGGUAUUAUUCGAUUGCUUUGAUACGCAAUUACUUCAUAUAGGCAACAUUACAGCAUAUGAGUUCUUGAAUUGCUACCGUAUUUUUCAUGUGUAUGUAUUGGAAUGUCAUAAGUUAUUACUGUGAUUGGAAACAUUACUUCAUUGGUUUACAUAUUUAAUUUUGACUAUGUCACCUGCGUAGUUCUCAUUUAUUGUAUUAGACGGCGUAUUGGUCGGAACCAAAUAUAUGAUCUUCUUCCUUGACCGGUAACUCCCAUCACCUGUAUGGACCUAUCUUUACAAUUUUCCAACAUACUCAACGAAAUAUCUAAAAGUAGAGAUAAUCUAGUUUUGAAAUGUAUAGAUUUUUAUUUUUCAUUUUAGUUGCACAAAUGACUAUCGUGUAAAUGUGGCUUGUGCUACCACCUUGGUUUUGGACACGUCUCAUGAUGCGUAACAUAUUAACCCUGUGCUUUGCAUAAUCUAGAAUGUGUCGGUAUCUAAUAAGGUUAAUUUGCAUAUGCAUAUUAUUACAAUAUUUAUGACGUAAUAAAGCUAUGUACGCAUCAUAUGUUUACGUGCCUAUCUGAUGUACCUAUGUGAAUGUUGUAAUUGUGGAAUUCUGCAUCGGUUUCAUUAAUACUGGUUCUUUCCUUUCAUGUCUUUGUAUUGACAUGUGUCACUGAUUGCAUUAAGGCAUGUGUGAAAAAGGAAAUAAUUGGAGAUGUCAUCUCCUGAAAAUAUCAACGAAAUCGUAACAUUUCCUUGGACCGUCAUUUCACACAUUUAAUUUAUUUGCUAUAAGAUUCAUAUAUUUACUUGGCCUGAUAGGCCUAUUCACAACAAUGCCACAAAUAUAUGUCUAUAUGAUAGGAAAUAUUGUGUAAAUUGCUUAUAAUUGUAGGAUGAUCAUCUUAAUAGGAAGAAAUAAUAUGGUACUGAUCUGUUACUGAUGUACUCGAGACUAGCGUAAAAAGAAAUUGUCUUUUGUGCUCAUUAUGUCGCCGUAUUUUUCGAUUACUAUUUAUGGGAGUUAUUUAAGCAGGUUUUUACAAGGAUGUGCCCAUACACUCUAGGAAGGGCCGCAUGUGUCUGUAGGAAGUGGAGAUACACUAUUCGAAAUCCUAGUCUAUGGCGAAGUGCUUGCCUAAAAACUUGGCAGGUGAACAUAUUACUUUAACUAACAGCUUAUAGACUUUACUCGGAGCUUUUUACUACAAUAUGCUUAAUCUUGAAGGUAUUUUAUGCAGAUGUCAGGAGCAGAGGCUAAUUACAAAAUUGUUCGGUCCGUGUACGACGGUUCUUGGAGAAAAAUGUGGGUUCAGAGGCCGCGACUUCGAACUGAUGGUAAUAAUACUUUAAAAAGAGCUACCUGUGCAUAGGUUCCCUGUAACUUACUUUUCUUUAAUAUUUUUUUUCCUCAUCUGUUCUUUCAUAUUAAGAACUAAGAACUAGUAUUCAACUCUUUCUAAAACCCUCUAUGGUAAUUUGGUAUAAUCCAACAGCAGUUUUGCACUUUGCCACGCUGUGGUUCAAAUGUGAAUUUUACUCGCCUGUCGUUCUCGUUUGGGUUUCUGAAGAGCCUAAUGUUAAAAUGCCUUUGAAAGUGCGCACAUGACAGCCACAUGGCUCAUUAAAUUACUGUGAAUCUUCAUAAGCCUUUUUGUUGUAUCAUCCAAUUCCACUUUACUACCCAGUAGUUCAAAAGUGUAGCGCUUUGCUACCCUUUUCAAAAGCUCAAAGUGGUACACUUUGAACACGAGAUGGAAGUUUUCCCUAUAAUAAUAUUUUUUUGUAUGAACUCUUGACCUUAAGCCUUUCUCGAUUGUUAGGUCUCUAUGUCAGUCGGAACACUUAUAUUCACACCGGGGUUGCAGAAUGGAAGGUUACGAAUCCUGUCCAUGUGGUAUGAUUUGCCUUUUAUGUAGUUUUUUGGUGAUAACAGUGUAAUGCUCAUUUACAACGUACUGAUAAUGGUUGCUGUAUUGAUGUAAUAUGUCUUCACGAUACAUGAAACAAAAGCUCAAUUUGGUCACUUUUCUUUCAUAAGUUGUUGAUAGUUAUAUUUAUAGCCUUGUUGACUUGGUUUGAGCUUCUGCAGAAGCGCUAUUUCAGUUCAUUUGUUUGAAAAGUAGAAACUUCAAAUUAGAACUUAUGCUUUUGGAGCUUAAAAAGCUUAUUUCAAUUUCGAGCCACAGCAAAAUCUCCAAACUACUAAUUUGCAUACGCUUUUUUUCUGCUUCUCAAAGUAGAAAAGCUGUUUCAGAAGCCGGGCCAAAUUAGCGCGUAAUAUCUGGUAAAUGGAAUAUUUAAGUGGAAAGCAAAGAUAUUGGUCGUUAAGGAAAAGGAUUAACAUGUUUUUUUAAAAAUGAAAACAUACUAAUCAAAAUAAUAGGGGCUUAUGACCGGUUCUUGAGCUUUGCAGGUUUGUUACUAUCGAUACCUGCGAUUUUACUCGAGUGGCAAGUUCCUCUACAAGGUUCGUUUCGUUUGAAGCCAUCGGUGAAAUUCAUUUAAGUUGUUUCCUUGUUGAGAAUAAUUCUCAUGUUUCUGUUUUUUUGCUGUCGUGGAAAAAUCAGAUCUCUUCUCAGAGAGUUAAAGAGGUGGUGAAAUGCAUGAAUUUCCGCGCAUCUAAAGCCGACUGUGUUUUCAAAGGCGACUCUAUAUUAUCUGGGGACCAGGUAAUAUAUGAUCUUUGAUCUCCAUGCUUUAUUAAAUCAAAAUGACAUCAAAUUCUUUGUGGUGACUUAAAAUUCGCGCUCUUUGGUCGUAUUAUGCAUAUUUCUUCUGCUUGUUUGUUAGGUCGAAGCUGCUCUUUUGUACCCAGGCCUGCGUCUCACUCUCCUUAGGAUGCGCCUUAGGUACAUGAUGUUUGUUUAUUUUCUAUGAUAAAAUGCAGAAAAGCCCCGAAAGCUACAUUGUUCCCGCUUUGCCCUUCCGAGAUGUAAAAACCUACUUUUAACUUUUUCUAUCGAUUUUAACCCUUACUACUUUUAACCCUGAAUGGAAAACGUGAGACGGCAUUAAAUUGAGGGGGUCGAUGUAAGAUUUUCAUAUUUCAGGAGGGUAAACUGCAAAUGGCGCCAAUACUUUAGUUUUUCAUAUGUUCUGAAUCACUAUUUUAUGUAUGCUUCUGUUCAAAACCAUACAUGUUUAAUAAGGAUAUGGACAAGAUUUGAAUAUUCAUUAUGGUGUUAGCGAAAUGUAUCGAAGAACAUGUUUAUCGGUAAAUGUAAGAAUUUGGAUAAAUGGAUCCUAGAUAUAGGAAAAGUGUGUUACUCAUUCCAAUGUUGAUUUUAGCAUAUCUGAAUAUUUCUACUAAAACUCGAAACUUAGGUUAGUUAUAAGUAUUUGGUUGAUUUUCUUUGCUAAUAAUAUAAUAUAAUGAAGUUAGGGUUUUCGAGGAAUACUACAAGAACCAUCUCGAUCUUUAAGAGAUGUGCGAGUUUAGAUCAUUUUUGAUGAAAUUUUCGGCUUGUGAGAUAUGCGAACAUGGAUAUUUGGUAGGCUUAGAGGGACGACAAUAGGAGCAAACAAUCGACUGGAUGUCGUGAAGCUCGUCACAACCGGAGUCAACGAAGAUGAUUUAAAGAACAGAGAGGACGACGUGCUGAGAAUUGUCGAAGGUUGGGAGGAGGACGAGACGCACGACCCCGACGUGCCGGCUAUCUCGCACCGCAGGGGUUUAACUCCCUUUGUUUUCGUCCCGUUCGAAGAGGUAAAACCUCCUCUUUUUUUUUAAGCCCUUUCUAUUUAGUAGUUUUACGUUUUAUAACAUGCCAAGCUUAUUCGAACUUCAAAAACAAUUUUAUCUUCGCUUAAAAUAGUAGCGUAGAAAUGUGUCAUAAAGUUGCGAAAGAGUGUAUUGUGGGGAAUUGGGAAUUUGAGAAGGUUAAAUUGCGGGAAACCCCUACAAACAUGUGAUUUUCAUUUUCGUCUCUGCUAGUAGUUUUCAGGCAAUCUCUAUUACUCGCCGUAUAAAUUGAAGAUGUAAAAUAGUAGGUUUUUAACAUUUGAGGGGGCAAUGCCGGCAUUGCAAUAUUUGCAAGGGAGUUUCCAGCAAUUUUCUGAUUCGAACUUUCAGAAUUAUUGCAGUCGAGUUUCACAAUCCAAUUUAGUUGACUAAAUAUUGACGCAUCGCUGAUGUAGAAGUAAUGUAGUAUUUUAAUUAUUGACGCAUCGUCAAUCACAAUACUGCUGCAUUACUUCCACAUUAGCAAUAUAUCAAUAUUUAGUCAACUAAAUUAGAUUAUAGGAUUUGAUAAUAACAACUCUAAAAGUUCGAGCUAGAAAUUACAACAAAUUAAAGUUUGAGGACCAAGGUGUUACCAGUCUCAUAGUUUGAGAACCGAAUGUUAAGCAUUUUAUGCUUAUUUUAGCUCCUCUCUUACCGCAGACCGAAACAUCAGUGUUGAAUCUUCCGGUCGACAAGAUGGAUUACUUCGUACCUGGAUGAUAAUGUCCUCGAUUUCGUAUCAUGUGUAUAUGUACAUAUAAACAUAUGCAUAUCCUGUUACUCUUAUUUGUAUUCGUCGCGUUCGCGCUUUUAGCUUUCUCCUUAAGGAUUGUGCAAGCUUGGAAUUGUUGUUGUUCUAGAUAUGCAAAACUGCAUUUUGUCUGUGCUUAGAAGAAAUGAUGUUGUUGCCUUUUGCAAUCUCUAGUGUGUAUGUGUGUGUGGUUGUGUGUUUUUUUUUAAUCUUUUUCAUGUUUUUAGUUUCUUUGGAGCAUAAACAUGCCAAACAGUGUGGAUCUUUUGGUUUCCUGUAAAUGGAUAAAUAAAAUUUUUGUCGUGCGUUUUUAGUUUGGCAUAACUUUUUUCUUUAUAGUUCUUCUUAUGUAUUUUUAGAAGCACGGUGGCAUCUGUACUAUCAAGUUAUUUUCGAUACUAGAACCGAUACUAGAACCUUCGAACCAACGAUUGGUUCACUUAGAUUUGAUCUAAAAUAUUAAAAGUAUUUAGAAAAUAAAUUUUUUAAUUUUUUAAUAAUAUUUAUUUAUUUAGUGAUCGAAAGGAUUAAAAAUUAACGGUUGAAAAUAAAAAUAUCAUUAAAGGUGAUAAUAUGAAAUUUGAAGUAGAUCAUAGAUAUUGAUCUUGUUCUAUAUAAGUAUAAAGAAAUUUUUAUUAAAAUUUUAUAUAAUUUUUAUAUUUCUACACCGUUAAGCUUGUAUAUGGCUCACAACGAUUAUUAAAUUGUUGAUUUUGGGCCAUUUUUAUUUUUAGGUAAAAUGAUAUAGAAAAAUUAUAAAAUUUAUUUUUUAGAUACUCUAAGUAUUGUAAAUUAGAUCUUAUAGAGCUAAUCGUCAUUUCAAAAGUCUCAGUAUCGAAACAUCUUGAUAGCACGGUGACCAACAUGCUUCUAAAAGCACACAAAUCUCUUUCUCUCUUUCUCUCUCUCUCUCUCUACAUUAAGAGUAGUACUUGCAUGCUAUGAUAAGUACAGAAAACUUCGUGCUCUUAAGCCAUUUUUGAUAAUGAAACUUUCAAAUCGACAAUCGAUUCUAUUAAACUUGAUCUAGAGAAUUUUAAAUAUCUAAAAAAUAAAUUUUGUAAUUUUUCGACAUUAUUUACCCUGUGAUCGAAAUAACUCAAUAUCAACAGUUAAAAAUAAAAAUCUAAAAAAAAAAAUCAUGAUAUAGUACUAAAAUUUUUUAUCAGAGUAUUAAUUUUACUGUAGAUAGUAUAAAAAUUUCUCUAUCAAAAUUUUAUCUGAUUUGAAUACUUCUACACUAUUAAAAAGGUCUUUCCCGUAAUCUUGAGUAAGCUUAUUUGUGUAUUUUUGAUUAGAUGGUUUCUGUGGUUGUGGUUGCUUGCUUAUUGUGAAAUAAACUCUACUGUAGAAUUGUUAUGCCUUGCUAAAAUAAAAGAAAAAUACUUCUUAUACACCCUAAAAAGGGGUGUACAUCUUACACCAGUAAUCAUAGGGUUGAUAAAAAUCAAAUUGAUUUUUAGUAAAACCUAAAAAAAAAAAAUUGAUGUAUUAAAAAUGAUCUUAAAAUAGAAUGGAUGUAAUAUAUACACUCCACUUUAAGAUGUAUAUGUAGCAUUCCUCAAAAUAAAAUAAAAAAAAAUAAAAGCAGCUUAACUCCCAAAAUUUUUUUUGUUAACAAAAAAGGCCUUUGUUGCACCAUGCUUAAUUUUUUGAGUAUUCCUUUUAUAUUGGACAGUUUUGAGCUUUGGCCUUAUUAUACUUGGCUACCAAAUCUUUACAAAAUAUAUAUUACGUAAAUUUUCCCUUUUUUAAAUUUGUCACUGGACCCUAAAUUUGGUAGUUUUUAUUAAUGAUUGUUAGUUAUAUUAUGGACAAAUAUUUUAAUAGUCCAAUUAUUUUUUUUUAAGAAAAUAAACACUUGAAUAGUCUUGAAAUCAUCAAAGAGAAAUUGUUAUUCAGGUUACUAUUUGGUUCGGCAUAAUAAUAUAAUGUUAGAUUGUUGAGCGUGUAAAACUAUUUUAUUUAGCUCAUCUUAUAUGUUUGGCCAGAUUGCAUAAAAAAUCUACAAGUUUUGAACUUUUGCAAAAUUAGACCGUUUUUUUCAAUUUUGCAAAUUUAAGCUGAAUUUUCAGAAACUAACCAAAAUACCCUAAUUUCUUUCUCUUCUCUUUUUUUUUUUUCCCUUGUUCCUUUUUUUUUCUCUCUCCAAAGAGAGAGGCAGAGGCAACCCGCAUCACCUUUGCCCCCCGCGCCCUCACCCUGCGCCUGCGCACCACCCACCUUCCUUGCCUCCAACCCCACCAAGGCUGCACUCGUUGCCGCUCUUUGGGACGCCCCUCCUCACCUUCGCCCCAUGCGCCCUCUGCUGCGCCCACUCACCCCCCGCUCUCCUCGUCUCCGAUCCCGCGGAGGUUACGCUGCAAUCCUCCUUUUUUUUUUUUUUCUUUCCAAACCUCCUCUACCGCCUUCGCAGCCAUUUGCAACUCAUCUCUACCUUCACUUCCACUAUAGCAUAUAAGAGUGUGAUUUUAUUUUAACAAUACAACUUCAUCUUCAUCUUCAUCUUCCUUCUUCUCUAAUCCUUCUUCCUUAUUCUAUAAUUUUUUAUUUUUAGUUUUAAUUUUUUAUUUUAAGCAAAUAAAAAUGUUUAACCAGAGAUGCUCCCGUGCACCCUCCGCCUUGUUCGCCUUCGACCCCACCGAGGUCGCGUUCGCUGCUACCCUCUGGGACGCCGCGCUCGCACCGUCCCGCCCUCUUUUCCGGCAUCAUCACGCUUUCCUCCGUCUCCACCUCAUUUGCCGGCCCCGGUUGGGCACGGAAGGUCGUGUGUCCCUUCUCUCGCCAGUGAGCUUCUUAGUGCCAAGAAGCGCUUACUUUUCGUCGUCGUUGGCGGUGGUGAGGUUCCCAAAAGUGAAUUUGGUGGAUGAAAAAUCUGCUGCAAUGGAAGUGAAGAUGGAGAUGGGUCGCAAAGGGCCACGGAGGCAAUGGAGGAGGUUUGGAAAGAAGAAAAAGAGGAUCGCGGCGUAGCCUUGGCGAAGUCGAAGACGAGGAGAAGCGGGGGUGAGUGGAGGCAGUUGAGAGCACAUGGGAUGGAGGUAAGGAGGGGCAUUCCAAAGAGCGGCAACAAGCGCAGCCUUAGUGAGGUUGGAGGCGAGAAGGGCGGGUGGUGCAGGGACGCAAGCGAAGGUGCAGGCGCAAGGUGGUGCAGGGACGCGAGCGAGGGCGCAGGGAGCAGAGGUGAGGUGGGCCGCCUUGGCCUCCGCCUCUCUCUUCGGAGAGGAGGAAAAAAAAAACAAGAUGAGAGAGAGAGAGAGAGAGAGAGAGAGAGAGAGAGAGGAAGAAAAAUAUUUUGGUCAAUUUUUUAAAAAUUCGAUUCGAAUCUACAAAAUAAAAAAUGGCAGCCCAGUUUUACAAAAGUUCAAAACUUUUGAAUUUUUUAUGCAAAUUAGCCUAUAUAUUUCAAUAAUAACUCUGAUAGUAAAGUCAAUAUUAUUUCUAAAAUAAAAUAAAAUACUACGCUAAAAAAUGAUAACUUUUACGUCCUUUACUUCCUGCUAACUAAAGAACAGAACCGAAAAACACUUUCAGUUCCACAACUAUAAAAAAACAAAAACAAAAAGAAAUAAUUUUCACUUAAAAACUCUAAUUCAUUACAAGCAACUCAAGCACCAACAAGACCUAAAGCGUAAUGAGCACAAUUAUAACAAAUCAAAACUUCUCUCUCAAUAAGAAAAAUAAAAUAAAACAAGUUCCAUGCAAAAAGCACUAUUCUAUGACAAGAUAAAUUAAAAAUAAGGUCUUUCAUUUGCCUAGCAAAAGGAAUUUACUUAUUCAUCACAACCAGGACUGUUUAAAUAUUUGAAACCAUUCUCAGCACAGCCAAAAAUAGUUGCAGCUAAUUGUUUGCACAACAACAACUAACACCAAAAUUACGAAAGAAUCAAUAAUACUCCAUGAGGUUUAACAAUCCCCACCAAGAUAAGAAGUAUUUGAAUUAUACAAACUUACUCUCUGAGUUCCAUCUUCUUCACAAUAUAAAAGAAGCCCGCGAAGGUACCUGAAGACCCGCCGGGGAGCGUGUUUUUCUUACUCGGCCCGAGAUUGCCCGGCGCGUGAUGAGAGGAUGAUGCCGACGAUGAGGCCGUAUAGGGCGAGCGCUUCCGCGAAGAUGAGGAUGAGGAUCAUGCCCACAAACAACUUCGGCUGCUGCGCGUUCGCCCUGUGGGUGGAAGGAAAUGUUAAACCGGAACCAAAUCUCUGUUUUUUGGAAAGCAAGAGAAACAAGAAAGCAGGACACAUGCAGAUCACUCACUAGAGCGAAUUUUGAAAAUAUCCAGAGAGCAAAGUCGGAAGAAAUGUUUUGAUUCAAGCUAUACAAGUGAAAGGAAUGAUGAUAGUUGGAAACAGAUGUUAGCUAUCCGAGUAAUUAAAUACCGAUCGGAAUAAGAAACAACCAAGAAAAAGAGUUACUUAUUUCUUGUUAUUAAGGUUAAUUCCAAACUGCCAGGGAUUUGAUUAGAGAUUGUCGUAUGCUAUAAAUCUCACAUUAGAUGGUUUUAGCUUCAUUGUUUCGACUUCUCUCUAAGCCUUGUGCUCGUCAAACUUACUACGCAUGUUCUACAAAAUUCUUGUUAGGACAAACUACAUGUCCAAGCUCGAAAUUCAACCACGAAUUUUACCUUCUCUUUCAAUUCCCAUGUCAAAUAUUGGGCCUGGAGAAUAGAUGGCUUUAAGAAACUAAACAAUCAAAGCAUAAACCUUCGUCUAGAAAGCAAUUAAAAUGAAUCCUUGGAGAAAUCACCUUUGUAGAUUCACACUGAUAUUUGUAAUAUAUUUGUCAUUUCAUCUGUAUAUGUUUCAUGAAAAACUGCAAACCAAACUAGUUAAAUAAAUUCUUGUGAAUGACAUCAACUGUAUCAUCAUAUACAGUAAUUAACAGAAGAGUCAUUUCCGCGUUCUUUCAAUUAACUGAGCCAGAUGAUUACUCGCAUCUGUAGAUUUAACGUAAUAAAUUUAGAGUAGGCGCCAAAUGCAAGAUAUAUAAUCAAUUGUCCCAAGUUGCAAGUACAUUUUUUCAUAGUUCUACAAACUCCCAUCUGUUAUCAUUCCUGUUCCACCUCAUCUAGAUUUCUCCCUUGCAGUAUUACUUACUGAUUUGUAACUCUAAGGGCAAAUCAUCGGUAUUCAUAUUAUUCGAAGAAAGUUUACCUUAAGCUCUGAUUAUGAUUUAACUAUCUCUUCUUCUUCUUUCCCAGGAAUUCUCGCCCCAACUCAUCCUAUGAUCUCACUGCUGAACAACUCUAUGCAAAUCUGAUCACUAUGCCUAAAUAUUCUAGAAGGACAAAGUUUAAUAACAACACGUAAUACAUUUUAAUGCCCGACAUGCGCAACAUUUGGCUGAACGGGCAGCACUGCCAGCUCUAUCAACUAAUUUUAGAAAUAAAACUCAUAUACAAAAAAAAAAAAAAGAAACACAUUUGCAAUUCAUUAACAGGUUUAAUGUACUAAUUUUUAACUUCCAAACUUUGUACUCAGGAUAACUAUUUAUUUUGGUAAAGCUAAAAAGUAGAUGCCAGAAUAACAUGGCUGUUUAAUGCCAGAAUAACAAUCAUUGAAAACCGCUAUAACCUUUUUCUAAUAGCUGCUGAUGAAAAGGCUAUAUCAAUGUCAUUUUUGAAAACCAGUAUACACCAUCGGAGGCCAAUUUGAUGGUCCAAUAAAUACAGGGUUUUUUUAAAUUGUCUCGGAAGUUGAGAGGGUUAUUUGUAUAUUUCCCUCUUUGAAAAAGAUAAGAUAAAGCAAAGGGACAGAAAGUAAAAUACCAAUCCAACAGUGAGAAGAAAGAAAAGUACCAAAUAUUCCGUUACAAUGAUACCAAAAGGACAAGAUUAACUUAUACCAUUUCCAAUUAAAAUCACAUCACCAGGUAAGCUAGAUUUCGCCACAAAAUCUAGAUCUAAAAUCAAACUACGGAAGUUCUACACCUCAAAUCUCUCCAGGAAAAUUAUCCCCACCAAAUAAUCAUGUAAAGGAAUAACGCAAUGUUAAUCUAUCACAAAAAAAUAAUAGAUUUAGACCCAGUUUGGACACACGAAAAUGUUGUUCGUCGUCUCUUUUAAUUACGCAAGAAGGUUAUAAUAUUAUGGUAGAUAAGUAAUACGAUCAAAUGCUCAGAAAUGGAAUACCAUAUUUGACCUUCAAAUCAUUUUUCAUCAAAAAUACAUAAAUCACCUCGUACGUGAACAUGAAAUAUGAAAUACUAACAAAUUAAAUCAUGAAUUUUAAGCCUUUUCGAGGAGCAAAACUCAAGCUCUUUGUUUCCAAUCACACAAUUAAAACUAUGAACUCCUCAUACUGAACCUAAUCUAAACAGAAAGAUAUGUAUAAGCAAUAUUACCGAAGAAACUUUACGAAUCUAGCAAUCUAAAAACACUAAUAUCAUCUCAGAUAUGAAAUCCUAACAAAUUAAAUCAUGAAUUUUAAGCCCUUUCGAGGAGUAAAAAUCAAGCUCUUUGUUUCCAAUCACACAAUUAAAACUAUGAAUACUGAGCCUAAUCUAAACAGAUAGAUAUGUAUAAGCAAUAUUACCGAAGAAACUUUACGAAUCUAGCAAUCUAAAAAAAACUAAUAUCAUCUCAGAUCGUUAGGUCAACGCACAAAUUACCUAACUCCAGCAUCGCCGACGAUCCCGAUCGCCAUCCCCGCGGAGAGCCCGGCGAGGCCACACGCGAGCCCCGAGGAGAGGUGCGCGUAGCCAUCGAAGAGGUAGUACGACUUCGCCUUAGGGUUGAUCCCGGUGCUGAUGAUCACGGCGAUGAUGAGGCCGUAGAUCCCGAGCACUCCCGCCAUGACCACGGGCACGAUCGACUUCAUCACCAGCUCCGGGCGCAUCACCCCCAUCGACGCCACCCCGACGCCGCUCUUCGCCGUGCCGUACGCCGCCCCCAUGCCUGAAAGAAGACGAAAACCACAUCACGCAUCGAAUCAAACCCUAGAUCCGUAGGGAGCGCCCCAGAUCUCGGAUCGAAACCCUAGAAAAAAGGAGGGAGGGGAGGGAGCAGGGGUUACAGGAGAAGACGAGCGCCGCCGCCGCGCCGAGGAAGCCGAAGAAGGGGGCGGUCUCGUCGCCGCUGAACGAAGACAUCGUUGGCGUGGGGGAGAGAGGGGAGAGAUCGAAACCCUAGAUUGGGAUCGGAAACCCUAAUACGGAUUCGGAGAAGUGGAGGAGAGGAAGGAGACGCGAGGGGUAGAAGAGGACGAACGAUGGGAGGAUAAAAUUACGAUUCUGCCCCUGGGAGUUUUACCUAUUAACGGAUUUUUAUAGGGGCAAUGGGAAUGGGUGGAUGUUAUGGGCUUAAUGGUCCACAGGAUAAAAUGGAACGCGUCGUCGACACGUAGCACGGGUUGUCAUUACCUGGACCCGGUGCACCACGUCAUCUGUGGACCGUCCAAUUGAAUUCGCCUUGGAUUCCUUCUAUUAUAAAAAUUUUUUUAUUUAUAAAAAAUUAAGGGUAAACUUCAAAUACCACCCCUGUGGUUUCGUAUUUUCUUACUUUAGUGCCUUGUGGUUUAAAAUGUACCAAUUUAGUGUCAUAUGGUUUUAUUUCAUCUUUUUAUUAUCGAUUCUACUAAUAUUUUUUGUUAAAUCAGUGAUAAAGUUAAAACCAAAGGAUACUAAAACGAAUAUUCGAUAAACCUCGAUGGGGUAUUUGAAAUUUUUUGUAUAUAAUUUAACGAAAUAUUAAUGAAAAAGCUGACGAAAAGAUAAAAAUAAAAUAACAGGACACUAACUUGAUACAUUUUAAACUAAAGGGUACUAAAGUGAGAAAGUGCGGAACCACAGGGGCUAACUAGAUAUACUUUAAAUCACAAGGUACUAAAGACAGAAACGAUAAAACCAUAGGGAGUAUUUGAAGUUUACCCAAAUCUAUAUUUUACCCCUCAAUAUUUUAAAUUAUUGCAUUUAGUCCCCCUCUAUCGGGAUUCCAUCACUCUGCCGUCCAUUUCUUAUAAUUUAUACCGAAAGUAUCCUUCAAAAUGACAAAAAUAUAUUAAAAAAUUAUUUUUUCCUUCAAAAUGAUAGAAAUAUAUUAAAAAUUAUUUUUUUCUUAUCGAAAAAGUUAGGACAUUUUGAUUAUUUUGCCUUCUCUAUUAACACCAUAUCUCGUUGAAAAUAUUUCUGGAAUUUUAAGUGAGCAAAAUAUAAGUUUUUAAAAAUCAUGAAGGAAAAAUAAAAAAAUAGAUAUUUAUAGAAGGAUUUUCUAUAAUUUAGCCUUUUAAAAAUUUACAAUAAUUUUAUUUUGUUAGUUGUGUGACAUAAUAUGAUAUAUCAGAUAUUAUUUUUGUAUAAUAUUUAUUAAAUUUACACCUUCGACUUUUCCUUUUUUAGAAAAUAUUCCUCCCAAAGGAAGUGUAUGGCUUAUGUGGCUGACGUGGUAAACUAGGUCCAUACUUAAUUUCCGUGUCAUAAAAUCUGUUUUUUUUAUAGCUUGCAUGUGAAUCACAUCUAAUUGCUACCACACAAUAGAAUCGUGUAUGUGUACGUUUCAUACAGUAUUUAAAUUUUGAUAAUUAAUAUUUUAAAAUUAAAAUUAAAAUUUAUAUUUUAUUGUACAUGAUCUAAUGGACCCAUGUAUGAAAGAUUAUAAUAUUUAAAAUUUUUUACUUAACCAUCAGAUAGUUUUUGUAAUUGACGAUGAAAUAAAUACUAUUGUUUGAUUUGUAAGAAAUAGAGAGACAUUUUAUCUUGAUUUUUAGGAUUUUUUUUCAGUGUACUUAAUUAUUAUCUAUACUAUCUUAUGAAUCCUCAGUUUUGUUACAGGUGGCAGCCAGCGGGAGUAGGAAGGGGAGGGGGCUGGGAUGGGGCCAUGGGGGUGUGAGGCCUAGCGGGGUGCAGGUGGUGUGGGCUCUAACUCUUUUUUUUUUAUUUUUUAUUUAAUUUCUCUCUCUCCACUCAUUUUGAACUUGGGGAAUAAACUCUUAUUUUUAAGGGGCAGUUAGUUAUAUACCUCUGAAAAGUUUCUAACUUUCUGAUUUACCCCUCUUAGAAGGCUAAUAUUAAAAAUACAUUUUUUACGUUUCAACCUAUUUCAAAUAUAUUCCUAGAGUUAAAAUCUGUUAAUAAAAUAUGUUCUCUGUAUAAAAUUAUUCCUAGAGUUAGGGGAGGGGGGCUGGGAUGGGGGUGUGAGGCCUAGCGAGCUGCAGGUGGUGUGGGCUCUAACNAAUUGCCCCUUAAAAAUACAUUUUUUACGUUUCAACCUAUUUCAAAUAUAUUCCUAGAGUUAAAAUCUGUUAAUAAAAUAUGUUCUCUGUAUAAAAUUAUUAUUAAGGUGGUGUGGGCUCUUAACUUUUUUUUAUUUUUUAUUUAAUUUCUCUCUCUCCACUCAUUUUGAACUUGGGGAAUAGACUCUUAUUUUUAAGGGGCAAUUACUUAUAUACUCCUGAAAAGUUUCCGACUUUUUGAUUUACCAUUCUUAGAAGGCUAAUAUUGAAAAUACCUUUUUUACGUUCCAACAUAUUUCAAAUAUAUCACUAGAGUUAAAAUCUGUUAAUAAAAUAUGUUAUCUGUAUAAAAUUAUUAUUUUACCCUUUCAAAAAUAACCUUUCAUCAUCAUCGACUUUUCUUAUUUGCUCUUAAGUCAGCUGCACAACAAGUAUUUUGACUUUGGUCUAAAUAUACCCAUCUACCGUCACCAGCAUUUCUUAUUUGCUUUUAAGUUAAGGGCAAAAAUAGCAUUUUAAUUUUUUUAACUGUGGUAGAUAUUUAACUUACGUUUAACCAAAGUUAACUAACGGGUGGUAGCUGUUGGGGUAUUUUAGAAUAACGGAGGAAUAUAUGAGGCGUAUAUUGGAAAGAAAAAAAAAAGGGUAAAUGAGAUAUUUUUCAAAUUUUGAGGGGUAUAUAGGCAAUUAUUCUUAUUUUUAAUCUAAUUUAAUUUAUCUCUCUCUCUUAUUAUAAAAAUUUAAAAUAUCUGUACUAUCUUAUGAAUCCGCAGUUUUGUUACAGGUGGCAGCGAGCGGGAGCACAAGGGGGAGAGGGCUGGGAUGGGGGUGUGAGGCCCAGCCGGGUGCAGGUGGGGUGGGCUUAACUUUUUUUUUUAACAUUUUUAUUUAAUUUCUCUCUCUCCACUGAUUUUGAACUUCGGGAAUAGACUCUUAUUUUUAAUCUAAUCUAAUUUAUCUCUCUCUCUCUCGUUAUAAAAAUUUAAAAAAUAUAACUAUUUAUAUAUGACUUUUAAAUAAUUUAGAUUAUAUGUACUAAAUAUAAAAUAUGAUUUUAUAAUAUUGCUCACUUAGAUCUAAAUUGUAUAAUAAAAAUAAAAGAGAGAUUAAUAAAGUUUAAGGUACUUAGUUAUUUUAAUAAAAUUAAUUACGAGAAUUAUAUGAUGUCAAAGUAUCAUUUACUGAUGGAAAUUUAACAUAUAAAAAGGUUGGGUAAUAAAAAUAAAAUUUUGAAAGAUUUGAUAGCUAAUUCAAAAUGAUUCAUAGUUUAGAAAAGUUCUAUACAUUUUUAUUUUGAUUUUAAUGUCAAACUUUUAACAUAUUUAUAGUCUGAUGAGCAAUUAAUUUCAUAUUUAAUUUUUUUUGGUAUAUUCAAAAUACGAUUGCUUGAACUUCAAUUUUAACAAUUAGAUAUUAUAAAAUUGAUAGAUAGUUUAACAUAUUCUUUAUUGGAAUAAAAUUACUAAUUAAAAAAAAUGAUCGAUACUCAACUGUGUUUUCGUCUUGGAUAAAAUUAACAUAUAAAAAGGAUAAAUUAUGCUUUUGGUCCUCAAACUAUCGGACCUUUAUACUUUAGUCCUCGAAUUUUAAUAUGUUAUAUUUUCUUGUUCAAAAUACGAAGCACAUGGUGCUCUGCAGCUUAUACUUUAAUUAGUUCCAAUUUUGUGCUCAAACUACAAUGCAUAUGACAUUUUAAUCCUCAAUUUUUAUUAUUGCUCUAAAUAUAAUUUAUUAUUUUUAUGAUUUUUUUCUUAUUUUUUUAAUUUUAUGCUUUUACUAUAGUUGCUGUCACUUUUGAUAAAUCUUUAUCGGUAUGUAAAACAACGAUACAGUAAAUACAUACCAAAAUUCAGGAUCAUAAAUAUGAUAAAAUAACUCACAGGACGUGAUAGAGAAGAAAUUAUUGAUCAAUCUGCGGAAGCGAAAAAUCCAAUACCGAUAUGAACGUCACCAACCGAACUCGAGUAACUUGGUUUCUCCUCCUAUCUCAGACACUCUUGUAUGGAGUGAAACCGAUAGUAAUUCUUCACCAGAAUGCAAUUGAGAAGGUGGCAUGACCAAUAUCUCUUUAUAUAGAGUCCAGAUCGACUUUCCAUCAAAGUUUGAUUAUGAUUCUAUUUAAUUUAAAUAGAUGGGAAAUGAAUAAAAUAUGUCAUAUCAAGUAGUUUUAUAUCUAUUAGGAUUGAUCUUUAUCUAUAGUAAAUCCAAAUUUAAAUAUGAUUAAUUGGGCCACAAUUAUAGAAAUCCUAACAAUCUCCCACUUUGCUUAUAUUAAUCAUAUUUCAUGAACGGAUUUUCUAUACUCCAAACUAUCGGAUCGUUGGCGCUAACCAUUAAUCCCAAAGGCUCGAGCUGUUAGAAAUAUGCAACCAAUUCACUUGAUGUGUACAGAUACAGUGCCUAUGGGUCUCAAUUAUGACUCAGCUCAACAGCCUCACGCCACUUCGAACAUGACUCAACCCAACCCAGCCUCACGCCAUUUCGAACAUGACUCGACCUACAUGGCCUCCCGCCACAGGAUAGGAUGUUGGCCCAUUUAAGCGAGCACAAACUUUAUUGCGCAUUAUUGAAAACUUUAUGGCCAAAUAUCUUAGAACUCACUUGAUCUUUAGCUCAAACUAAAAAAUUACAAUAAUAGGAACUGUGGCAAUUUACCUUUUCAUAUCGAAAUUUUUCUUCCAUAAUUACCAUAUCAUUUUCAUCUCCUAGCCGAGAACUUUAUAUAGUACAACUUUAAGAAUAAACUUAAACUAUAUGUCUAUUCGUUAACAAACAAAACUUUAUGUCUAUUAAAUGAUUCAACACAACUGAUUAAAACUUUAACUUUAUUGAAAGAAAAUAAAUAUUACAACUUUGGCUCAAUUACAUAAAACCCCCAUGUCAAAACCCGAAUUUUCACUUUUCCCUAUGUCAUUUAAAAAUUUACACUUUACCCCCUUAUAAAAUAAAAAAUAGUCACAGAGGGGUACGGUGUAAACUGUGAUGAGAAAAUGAACAUUUUGCCCCUUACCAUUUUUGGCAACAGGAGAGAAAGCUGAGGAAAUUUUUGGCAUAAAAAAUUAUAUAAUAAUAUUUUAUAAACGGAACCCUAACGGAUCACUAAUGGCGGGGGGUGAAGUGAACAUUUUUCAUUUUACAAAGGGGCAAAGUUUAGGUUUUUAAAUCACAGGGGGAGAAAGUGAAAAAUCGAAUUUUGACACAGGAGUUUUCUGUAAUUUAGCCUACAACUUUAUAUAUCACAAAAGAGCUAGUCAAACCCAUACUGCUAACAUGAUCUAUAUAUGACGCAGGUGCCGGCCCCUUAGUCAUUGCGUCUGCAACCAUACACUUAGUACUGAUGUAUUCAAUCGUAACAUAACCUUUAUUCAUCUUCUCUCUCAUAACAUGAUAUUUGAUGUCCAAGUAUUUAUACCUCGUUGUAAUCUUGUUUUAUUGGCAAAGAAAACCGCAGCUGAACUAUCACAAAAUUUUUUUAUUGGACGAGUAAUGAAGUCUACAAUUCUUAAGCAUGUGAUAAAGUUACUAAGCUAAAUAGCUUGUGAUGUAGUCUCAUAACAUCAAUGUACUUUGCAGCCAUAGUUGAAGGAGCAGUAACACUUUGUUUAUAUAAUUUUUUCUCUAAAUAUAUAAUUAGAGAAAAAAGAAGAAAGAAGGAAGAAGAAAGAGAAAAGGCCUAGAAGAGAUAGAAGUAAAGAAGAAAGAAGAAGAAAAAGUUACACGGCUUGAGACAAAGUUAUACUGUUUGAGAUUAAAUUGCACUAUUUGAAGCUAAGUUGCACAACUAGAAACUAUUUGAGAUUAAGUUUCAUCACAUAAAAUAAAAGUUGCACUUUUUGGGACUUAAGUUGGACAUCUAAAACUAUUUAAGGCCAAGUUGCAAACUUCUCAAAUAGUGCAACUUAAGUCUCAAACAAUGCAAGUUAGUCUUAAAUAGUACAAUUUUAUUUUUUGUUGUGCAACUUAGUCUUAUAUAGUUUUAAUUUUGUGUAAGUUAGUCUUAAACAGUGUAACUUUUUCUUUUCUUUUUUCUUCUCUACUUCUUGGCCUUCCUUAUAGCAGUCGCAACGCGUGGUGGCCUUUUUACCAGAAGAAAAAUAUAUAAUUUGUUUUUCAUUUUCGUCUUUCUUGCAACAGCCAUGCAAUGUAGAGAAGAAAAAAGAAAUGAAAAACGAGUACUACAGAAAGACGAAAAUGACGCAUUUAAAGAUAAUUUGUUUUUCAUUUUCGUCUUUUGUCCAUUUUAUCUUUAAACUUCUCUAAACCCAUUUCAAUCAUGUCUAAUAUGACUUUGAUAUGCACUUUGCCAAUUUGGCUAAAGUUUGGUGCAAUAUAUUGAGUUUCUACAUUGCAUGGCUGUUGCAGGAAAGGGUGCGGGAGGGGGGGCAAUAAGGAAGGCCACCACGCGUGAGGACACCUAUUGUAAAUCAACCAUAUUAGCGAGCACACCAGAACAGUAGAGUAUUCGAGUAUCGUAGGCAGUUAAUAUAGCUUUUUCCUUAUCUUUAAGCCACUCUAAUUUAUUUCUUUCGCUUUUCAGGGGUAUAUAAGCAAUUACCCCUUUAUUUUAUUACAAUAAAAUGUAGGAUAAAUUAUGGUAUAAUUUAUUUUAGGAUAAAAAAAUAUAUAUAAAUUCAAAAUCAAGUAUGAUCACUAACUUGAGGGUUAGUAGUCAAUCCAUAAGUAACAUAUUAGGGUAAAUUGCACUGCUAUCUCCUGAACUUUUGGCGAGUUUUACUUAACCCUCCAAACUCCUAAAAUAAACAUCUAACACCCUAAACUCUAAUAUUUCAUUCGUUUUACCCCUUCCAUCAAUUUAAGGUUAACGGAGCUUGACGGAAAAGUGACGGAUGGGGUAACAUGAAUGAAAUAUUAGAGUUUAGAAUGUUAGAUGUCCAUUUUAGAAGUUCGAGGAGUAGAGUGAAACUUCGCCAAAAGUUCAGGGGGUAACAAUGCAAUUUACCCCUUUAUUUUACCUAUCCUUAUAUGGGAUAUAUAGGUUGGUGUAUGUUACUGCUUUAUGGAAGUAGGAAAAAUUUUGUCCGUUCGGCAAAUUUGUUGCACAUGCCUGAGCGGUUCCUUUGGGGCAGGUAUAGGGGCGUGACAGAUAAUAGUGGUAUCAACGCCUAGGACAUAGUUUCUAUGUGGUUUUGGCAAAACCUAAGUUUUAGAGAGUGUGAGUAAACGUGGACUUUGGCAAAAGUGAACGAUCGGGUCUUGUGGCGUCUCCACAGAUUUGGAGACCGAUCAAGGGAGAAGCAUUUCCAUUCUUUAGAUAAUUAUGUUGGAGGCUGACAAUACGAUAUCGGGGAUGAGAAGGAGUGUCCCUCAAGGACUUUCGAUUAAUUAGGUCAAUACUUUUUAUAAUGCAAUUGGAAUUAAGCCGAAAUUUUGGUUAAAUUGUUGAUAAUAUCAUUGUGUUGCAGGAUAGUUGUUAGAAAUUGACCGGCACAAAAGAAAACAUAGUGGAAGAUACUUUUGCACUUUUAAAAUUUUUCAAAAGUUAGAUACAUAUCAUAUAUGAAAACCGAAACCAAUAAAUUAAACUAUUGCCAACGGAUCAUUCUCAUGUUGCUAUGCAAAAAAUUAGUCCAAACAAAAACUUUUUAUGUUUUGAGAUCUUACCGUGGACCAGUUAAGAUCUCUUGAUCUACUAUACGGUUGAAACUGACUAUUGUUGGCUUAAAUGGGCCAGCAUCCUGCCCUGUGGCGGGAGGCCCCAGGUGGGCCGAGUCACAAUCGAGAUCCGCAGGCGCUGUUUUUGUACGCUUUAAGUGAAUUGGUUGCAUAUUUCUAACAGUUCGAGCUUUUGGGAUUAAUGGUUAGCACCAACGAUCCGACAAGUGGUAUCAGAGUCAGAGAUCACGGGUUCGAUUCCCGCUGCCCUGUGGCGGGAGGCUAUGUGGGCCGAGUCAUGUUCGAAAUGGCGUGAGGCUGGGUUGGGCCGAGUCAUGUUCGAAGUGGCAUGAGGUCAGGUGGGCCAAGUCACAAUCAAGAUCCGUGGGCGCUGUUUCUGUACGCUUUAAGUGAAUUGGUUGCGUAUUUCUAACGGCUCGAGCUUUUGGGAUUAAUGGUUAGCGCCAAUGAUCCGACAAUUAUGACGAACAGAAGUUUCGAUUAGCCGCACACGUGCCCGACUUCUACGCAUAUCCACACGAAAUCGCCGCAUACCUGAUCGAUCCUUGUCUCACGAACCGAGUAAGUCGCAGACAACCUGGACGGUGCUAACAAUCCCUUUAUGAUCCACUAGUCGAUGAAGAAUAAAGAAGUUGAUCGGAGAGAAAACACACGUGCGGGAGAGAAAUCAUACUUAUACACAUCUACUUAAUUCAGAUGCAUGGCACCUUAAUUGCCAUGCAUUCAAUUCGUACGGCACUAUGUGCCGUACAGCUCUUCCCUUUUUUGGAUUUUUUUUUGAUUCACUUUCAUCAAUGUACACAUAUACCUAUGUAUAAAUCCGUUUAGAUAAAAUCUUAUCUAAUAAGAUUUCUCUCUUCAAUUAAAUAUUUAUGCUUAUCCAAUUAGAUCAAAUCUAAUAAAAAUUUUAUCUCAUAAGAUAUUAUGAAUAUUUAAUUAUUCUCUAAUCCAAUUAGAGAUAAAAAUUGGAAAAACUUCAAAAACCCUCCCUGUGGUUUCACAUUUUUUUAUUUUAGUACCCUGUAGUUUAAAGUGUAUCAAGUUAGUACCCUGUGGUUUCUCACUUUAUCACUUUAGUACCCUGUAGUUUAAAGUGUAUCAAGUUAGUACCCUGUGGUUUCUCACUUUAUCACUUUAGUACCCUGUAGUUUAAAGUGUAUCAAGUUAGUACCAUGUGGUUUUAUUUUUGUAUCAAAUUAGUACCUUGUGGUUUUUAAACCACGAGGUACUAAAGUGAUAAAGUGCGAAAUCACAGAGUACUAAAGUGAUAAAGUGCGAAACCACAUGGUACUAACUUGAUACACUUUAAACCACAGGGUACUAAAGUAAAAAAAUGCGAAAUCACAGGGUACUAACUUGAUACACUUUAAACCACAGAGUACUAAAGUGAAAAUAAGUGAAACCACAAGGAGAGUAUUUGAAGUUUUCCCAUAAAAAUUAAUCUCUCCGUAUUUAAUUAGAUCUUAUCUAAUUUUAUUCUUAUCCAAUAAAAUUAGUUACUAAAUAUUAAAAUCUCAUUUAAAUAUUUUAUGAUUAAAUAUUAUCCACUAAUCCAAUUAGUGAUGAAUUUAACUCUUUCGCAUAAUUCUCAAACUGAUUCUGAGAUCCUAAUCUAAUUAAGAGUAUCAGUUAUAACCGAAUUAAAUAAUUAAAUCUAAUUUAAUUAAGCAGCUUUUUAUUAUUUUCAUUGCUUACACUAAACUUUUAGUGAACGACUUUUAUCCAAAUGAUUUAGGUGCACACAAUUCUUAAUAUGUGUGACCGCAUAGGUUCAUUACCAUUCGGCAGUUAGGGGUGGAACUGGGCCCGGGCCUAAACAAGGCCCGGCCUGAUGGGCCAUGUUUGGGCCGGGCUUUGGGUAUUAAAAAGAUAACUUUGGGUUCGGGUCGGGCUUAAAAAUUUAGGCCCAAAUAAAAUUUGGGCCUAUUUGGGCAUGCCCAAGCCCGGCCCGAGCCCGACCCAAAAGCCAGAUAUAUUAAUUAUCAAAAUAAAAUAGUUAAUUAUAUAUAUAUAUUAUUUAUCUAUAAAAGAAUAAUAAUAUAGGAACUAGGCUAAUAUACUAUUAAUAGUACCAAGUCAUUGGUGCUACCAAGUUUUUAGCCAUUGGAUUAAGAGAUGUGCGGUUAGGAUGAUGUGAGCCCCUUAGGGUUGAGUGGGUGGUUGGUUGAAUAGUAUGAUCUAACGGGUAAAAAUGAUCAAAAGGGUAGAUCUAACGGUGAAAAACUUGGUAGCACCAAGUGCUUCGUGCUAUUAAUAGCAUAGCAGCCGAACUCAAUAAUACAGUAUAUCAUAUAUAGUAUAUAUUGUUAUUAAUGAUAUUAAUAUAUACUUAUAUAUAUGAGGAUAUAUUAUAUAUUAACAAAAUAUUUAGUUUCAUAUUAGGAUAUAUUUGAUAUUAGAUAUUAAUUUCUUUAAUGUGAUCAAACUAAAAAUAGAUAUUUUAUUUUAAUUUUAUACAAAUAAAAAUAUUUAUGUAUUAUAUGAUAAAUGCAUAAAAUGGGCCUAUACAAAGCCCGAUGGGUUUUGGGCAUUGGGCCGUGGGCUUGGGCCGGGCCUUAAUUUUCAAAAAAAAAUUGGGUAGCAGUCCGACCCGAAGCCCACCAUUUUUUUUGGGCCGGGCUUGGGCAUAGUAUUACCCGACCCAAACCCGGCCCAGUUCCACCCCUAUCGGCAGUGGAGCUCAACAUCAAACUCUUUAAUAUUUAAUUAUAACUCUUCUAAUUGAUAAAUAAGAGCAAUUCAAUUCGAAUCAUUCAUAUUCUNAAAAAAAAUUGGGUAGCAGUCCGACCCGAAGCCCACCAUUUUUUUUGGGCCGGGCUUGGGCAUAGUAUUACCCGACCCAAACCCGGCCCAGUUCCACCCCUAUCGGCAGUGGAGCUCAACAUCAAACUCUUUAAUAUUUAAUUAUAACUCUUCUAAUUGAUAAAUAAGAGCAAUUCAAUUCGAAUCAUUCAUAUUCUCUCACCGUUCAUGAGUGACACCUAGUAGUAUAUCACGGCAGUCUAGAAUGGUGAUAAAGAAUGAACCUUUUCGCUCAGAGUUACCGUGUGAUUAAUUCGUCCCAACAUACAAUGUCCCAAUCGAAUUAAGGUCAUGGUUACUUGCUAAACCUUAUCAUUCGACCAUAUGACUAGAAUAUCUGAAUCAACUCAAUAUGACAACAUAGUAGGAAACUCUUUCCAUAUACCAUGUACCCUAGCCAGGGUUUUUUGAGUCGAGUCCGAUAAACUGCAUAGGACGUUCUCCCUCGUCAUUGAGAGUGUUGGAUUUCUUAUUGCGCGUUCACAUGCCUUCCUGCAUAAAUCAUUACAGCCAAUCAGUACCGAAUAUAGACACAUGUCUAGAGUCUAAGUAUUAGUACUGUCAAAUGGUAGCAACCUAUAUGUGAAGCAACUAUGAGGCCUCAAGUCCGAGGAGUACUUCACACAACUGUAGCAAUGAACUUGUUACUGGCGAGCAUGGAACCAUAUGACUAUUAAACUAAAUAAUUACGCCCAAUGUACUUGUUCUUUAACAAGCACAUAUAUGCUUGUUCUAGUGUCCUUACACUAGUGAAUUGAGAUUCGUCACUUCAAUUAGAAACAUAGCAUACACCGGCCUCUCCAGAAUAUCAUCGUCCCUGUAAUAUUCCUCUGGCUAGGAGCAUUUAAAGAGUCUCGUAUAGAAAAAUACAUAUCUCAAAUUUCUAACUCUUAGGACUAUGUCUUUUCAAACAAAAAUUUUAUGGACAAUUUACGUCAAUAUUGCACUGUUAUACAAUAGACAUGAAUAGAAUAUCUGCCCUUAUAUUAUGAAUUAUAAAUAGUUAAUACAUAAAUACCGUUAAACCAGUGUCACCAGAUUGGCUUUUGGGUAUGUAACUAACAAUAGUGAUCUUACUUGAAUGAAGUGUGUGAGCUUUAUUAUUAGAUAACCGUGUUGAUUGGUGUAGUUGAGAGGCAAGCUGAGGCCUUUUGAUGCCAAGAGGAGUAGAUUAAGAAGCUCGACCAAUCCAUAGCAUAGCAAGCUGGGGCUGUGCAAACGAGUCAGGAGCUGACUCCCCCACCCCAAUAUGCUACUGAAGGUAUUGCGGUGGCAGCCGUGUCUAUUUUGGAGCGUCCCACGCUAUCAGAGACUAUGAGGCGACACCUCUCAAGAUGGAAUCAGAUACCUCCGCAUGGACCUCGAACGAGCCUAAGUAACUUCAAGAAGUUCAACCUGCCAACAUACAGUGGCAAGUGCAUGGACCCAUCGCCAGUCAAGAUGUGGGUCAAUUCAAUGAAGAAAUUGUUCGACAGCCUAUAAAUUCUGGACUGGGACAAGGUGUCAAGGUCUGCCCACUGCUUGCAUAAAGGUAGCUCAACGAGGAUGAAAAAAGGAGAAGGCCAACUGACCCGCCAACUUGUCACCGACAAUUUAGGAGAAUUUUCAGGCACUUUUCUUCAAUGCAUUCUUCCCGAUAGUGUAAAGUAAUAAAUAGAGGAGGAUUUUAAGAACCUACUCUAGAGAAAUCACACGGUGUUGGAGUAUGAGCAGGAGUUCUCUUGCAUUGUGAGCUACAUCGCUUUCAUUGUGCAGGAUGAGAAGAACAAGCCCCGGUGCUUUGUGCAUGGUCUCCAACCGGAGAUAUACAAGAUGGUCCAACCUAUCGACUUACAAACCUUUUGGGAGGUUGUGGAUCGAGCCUUACUUUUUGAAAGGGGUGAGCCGAUGGUGCAGUUGGAGCAAAAAGCUUGUGAGAAGGGCAAAGAGAAGAAGCAGUCCAUAGGUGGCUCUAGUGGCCAAGAAAGCUCAAAGUGGCCUUCUAAACACAUAUGCUCAUAGUCUCAAUCACACAGGUCCUAUGCUCCAUAGCCCUGACCUAGGUGCGUGAUAUAUAGUGGAGGCCACCAACCCCAGCAAUACAGAAGCGAGAUAGAAAAUGUUUCAAGUGUGGCAAGCUUGGCCACCUGGCAGCUGAUUGUUAUAGUGAAUCACCGGCUCCAUCUUCUGUUUCUGUUCUAUUCACCCCAAGACAUUCUGCAAGGGUCUCACUAACCAUUACCUAAGGUGGACGACCUCUAAUGCCGUGAUAGCUUGAAGGGACUCGACAGACACCUAGUGGCUGGGUGCUUGCGAUACGUGGAGGAUCAGCUAAUCGCCGACAACGUCAUGACAAGUAUCGUUUUGUUAAAUGAUGUAAGGUGUUGGGCAUCGUUUUAAUACGGGUGCAUCGUAUUUAUUCAUAAGUAGGACAUUUGCUCUUGCUGACGGAAUUUGCAUAGUAAAGGCCACGCACUAAGUGGGUUCAGGUUUCAAACCAUGAAUUCUUUGUCAUUGAUUAUUGCUCUACUUGUCCGGUGUGAACAAGUGAUUGGAUUCUGCCGAUAGAUUCUUAGUGUUGAGACGGAUUGAGAGUUUUGAUAUUGUGCUAGGUAUAAACUGGCUCCUGAGAUACUAUGCUAUUACUGAUUGUGAGAGUCAGGUCAUCAUCUUUCAUGAACUCGGACAAAAGGAGUUUGUCUACCGGGCUUAUAGAAGCUCACUUUUUUAUAUGACAGUAUCCACACCCCAAGCCAAUAAGUUGAUGGGUGGCAGAUGUGUUGCCUAGUUAGCUACAGUAGUAGAAGAUCGAGCUGAGUCUCCGGUACUUGAGGGCAUUCCCAUAGCUAGAGAGUUUUCAACUGUGUUCCCAGAGUUAUAGGAAAUGCUGUUGUACAAAAGAUCAAGUUUGUGAUUGGCUGAUUCUUGGGACCGCACUGAUAUUUAAAGUACCAUAUCGUGUGGCACCAACAGAGUUGAGAGAGCUUAAGACUCAAUUGCAGUAUUUAGUAGAGAAGGGCUUCAUCAAGCCAAUUGUGUCACUAUGGAGAGCUUUAGUGCUAUUUGUGAGAAAGAAAGAUAGAUCAUUGCGGUUGUGCAUGGGUUAUAGGAAGCUCAGUAAAGUCACAAUCAAGAAUAAGUUCCACUGUCUCACAUUGAAUUUUUGUUUGAUCAGCUUCAGGGGGUCCCAAGUGUAUUCCAAGAUUGAUUUUCAGUCAGUAUAUCAUCAAUUAAGGAUCAAACCAGAAGAUGCGUACAAAACGGCAUUCAGAACAUAAUACGACCACUAUGAAUUCAUUGUCAUGUCGUUCUGACUCAUGAACACCUCGACAGCCUUUAUGGAUCUUAUGAAUUGCAUCUUCAAGUCUUUUCUAGACUGAUUUGACAUGGCUUCAUUAACGACAUUCUGAUAUAUUCCCGAAGUGAUAAUGAACAUGAAGAACAUCUAAAGAAAAUCUUACAACUUCAGGAGAGGAAGCUUUUCUCCAAGUUAAAAAAGUGCAAAUUUUGGCUUCGAAAAAUUGUUUUCUUGGGGCAUGUGAUUUUUGAAGUUGGGGUCUCAGUUGAUAGAAAAGGUGGAAGCAAUCAAGGAUUAGACUCACCCUACAAAUGUCACCAAAGUCCGAAGCUUUCUCGAUUUUGCAAGGUACUACCGGUGGUUUGUAAAGAGGUGUUCAAAAAUCAUCAUUCUACUCACACGCUUGAUGCAUAAAGGAGCCCAGUUCAUUUGGAGUGAUAAAUGUAACGAAUUCCUCCAAUUGUUGAAUGACAAGUUGACGUUGAUUCCAAUUCUCGCUUUGCCUACGGUACAAAAGAAUUUCGUGGUGUAUAAUGAUGCAUCCCGAAGUGGUUUUGAGUGUGCCGUGAAGCGGGCGGACAAAUUGAUAGCCUAUGCCUCUUGACAGUUGAUGUAACGACCCGACCCGCUAACAAUAAUAACUCGUUGGGCCUAAACCACCAGCCCAAAAUGCUUAAGCCAAUUAUUAUUAUUAGGGUGGAGUCCUCUUAUAAACCUAAUGACAACUCCAUUUUCAUCCGAUAUGGGACUAUUGGGAUGUCACAGACUCCCCCCGGCCUAAGAUCACCAGAUGAUGUGAGACUUAUCUUGCUAGCCUUUGUCAUUCUGACCCUCACUUAGCCUGUCAAUCACCGACCUUGGCUUAAUCCGUCACUCCGACCCUGGCUGAGCCAAGACUCAUCUUAUACUUCUGGCUGGUGAACUGGCUCUGAUAUCAAAUGUAACAACCCGACCCGCUAGGAAUAAUAACUCGCUGAGCCUAAACCACCAGUCCAAAAUGAUUGAGCCCAAUUAUUAUUACUAGGGUAAAGUCCUCUUAUAAACCCAAUGAUAACCCCAUUCCUAUCCGAUGUGAGACUAUUGGGAUGUCACAGUUGAAGAGCUAUGAAAGAAUUACCCUACCUAUAACCUAGAAUUGGUUGCCGCGACUUUUACUUUGAAGUUGUGGCGGCAUUAUUUAUAUGGCGAGCAUUGUGAGAUCUACAUGGAAAAUAAUAAUGUCAAAUACUUGUUCACUUAAAAGGAGUUGAAUUCGAAGCAGCGCAGACAAUUGAAGUUGCUAAAGAAUUACAACGUCAUCAUCCUAUAUCAUCCCAGAAAGGCAAGAUCUACACCGGAACACAAUAGUGUCAAGUAGUUGUUCACUUAAAAGGAAUUGAAUCUGAAGCAAUGCAGACAGUUAGAGUUGCUAAAGGAUUACAGCGUCAUCAUCUUAUAUAAUCCCGGAAAGGCAAAUAUGAUAGCAGAUGUACUAAAUUAAAAGUCAGUGGAGAAUCUUGCAAUGUUAACGAUCCAAACGCCACUACAAGAGAAGAUGCGGCAAUAUGAGUUGCAGUUGUUGCACGCGAUGCCUCAUCGAGGCGAAACUCAUAAUACUCAUAAUGCAACUGAUUUUGUUGGAAAGAGUCAAUAAGAGAAGAAAUAUCGGAUUUGAACCUCCAAAGGAAGCGGUCCAAUAUCGAGAAUGGGCGUGCGAAGGAUUUUGGUGCGGACUUCAGUAUAGUGUCUUACGAUUUCAAGGUAGAUUGUGUGAGUAUAAUAAACUGGAGAUUUUGAAGAAGAUUUUAAGAAAAGCACAUCAUAUUUUGUAUAUUAUUUAUUUGAGUGGUUGCAUUUGGUUUGGGUAUAAAUAAGAACUGCUUAUUUCAGAAAUAAAUAUAAGUUUAAGUAUAAGUAGGAACUAGACCAAUUUUACAUUUGGAUGAAAAUUGAGUUGUUACUAGGAAUAAUGUAAAUAGUGUUUGGAUGGUUAGAUUGGAAUAAGAAGAACAAGAAUUAUAAUUUUAAAUUAAAAUUAUUUUAUCUAAGUAAUUAAUAUCAAAAUAUUACUUAAAAAUAAUUUAAUAAAUUAAUAAAUUUAUUAGCUAUGAAUAUUGUAUAAGAUAAUGAAAAUAUAUAUUAAUUACUUAAUUAAAUAUAAAAAAUAAUUUAACUUUUUAAUUAGUUAGUAAAUUAUUUUAGCUAGAUAACUAGUAAAAAGAAUUAAUUAGAUUAAUAGAAAUGUUAAUGGUUGAUCAAUAUAAAUAUUAGUUUAUGGAUAAAUACAUUAAAUUAUUAAAAAUUAAUUAUAAUUAAUUAAUUAAUUUAUUAUUUAAGCAAUAAAUAAUAAUUUAAAUAUAUUAAUUAGAUUAAUUAAUGAUUAAUACCAUAAUUAAAAUUAAAUUUAGACUUUAAUUUAUCUUGUUCCACCUUGAAACAAGCUUGUUUCAGGAAAAAAAGUGGAACAACAAUUCUACCCUUAUAUCAAUUUAUUUCAAAAAUUCAAGUACUACUGUUCUCGAGUACUAAAUACCGCGUUUGGGAACAAAAGGGGAAACACAGACUUAUCCCCUUUUGCUCCCGAACCAGACGCUGCCUUAAAAUGCAUAAGAAUUUAAAAUUUUAUUAUUGAUAAUGCUAUGAAGUAUAAAGGUUUUUUCAGGGGGUUUUUAGUUCAAUAGUCCCUUUCUAAAAUUUUAUUUUAAAAAUAAAUCUGUUAAAACUUUAUUUGCAGAGGUAGUUUUCUAAAAGCGGUGAAUGAUUUACCGUUUUUAUUAUUUUUCUAUUGCUAAAUAGAAGUUAUGAAUGCGGUGAAUGAUUCACCGUAUUUAAAAGUCUAUUUUUAUAAUUAUUUGUUUAAGAAAAUUAUUUUUAUAAUUAUAAAAAUAGAUAGGAUUAGUUGUAAAAAAUAUUUUUUUUUUUAGGAUAGCUCAGGAGUCUUUCCCAAAAAGAAUUUUUUUAAGAAUUGUUUUUGACUUUUUUUUUUUUUUUUUUUUUUUUUUUUUGAGAAACCAAACCGCCUCUAACGGAGUGACAACUGACAAGUGCGGCGUCUGGUCUACACGUAUACACUAAUAAAUUUCCUUUUUUUUUUUUUUUUAAUUCUUCCUCCCAUUUUACUGUGUUUUGCAUUUGGAGAGAGAGAGAGAGAGAGAGGAGAGGAGAGGAGAGGGGGAGAGAGUGGCGAUGGGGAGGGCGAAGGUGAUCGCGUGGGGAGCGGCGAUCGUGGCGUUCGUGGUGCUCAUGAUCGUGACCCCGGCGAUCCCGCAAUCCGAGGAGUACCACGACUUCGCCGAUCAGCGGGAGCUCUUCUUCGGUAUCGAUACACAAACCCUAGCCUCGUUCUCCUCGUCGUUCUCUAGGUUUUCCAUUCCUGUUUCUAGGGUUUGCAACGCAUCGAUGCGUGUAAAAAUGUAUGGAGACCCUAGUUGUUUUGAUUUGAGUUAUUUUUCGUAUGUUGGAUUGAUGAUCUAACGAAAUCUGUAGCGGUUACUGUGAUCUGCAGUUCCAUCUGUCGAAAUGUGUUCGAAAUAGUUAAAUUUUACAGGAUUAGUAUUUGAUUGAACAAAACCUCGGAGUUAAUUGAUGGAGAUAACAUACAUCAAGUGGAUCAGUUGGGGAAAGGGGGCCGAGUUUGUCAAAAGAAAAUUAGUUGAGGGACCAUAUUUCCCCUAUAAUUUAUACAGGAUUAGUAUUUGAUUGAACAAAACCUCGGAGUUAAUUGUUGGAGAUAACAUACAUCAAGUGGAUCAGUUGGGGAAAGGGGGCCGAGUUUGUCAAAAGAAAAUUAGUUGAGGGACCAUAUUUCCCCUAUAAUUUAGGGGAUUAUGUGCAGUAUCACCUUAAUGCUUCGCAUGAUUCCGAAUAUGGAGGCUGAUCCUUUUACUUAGAAUGACUUGUUGAUCUUUUUGUAGUAUCAAUUCAAUAUAUUCUAGCUCAUAUUCUUGAGCCUAUUAUAAGUGAUCUGUGCGAACUUUGAUAACUCUUAGAUGACCUAAUACAACUCUUUGAUCAUUAUGCGGCCGGAGAAGGCAUAGGAGCUUGUCCAUAGCAAUUUAUCAGAGUUUGGGGCUCUCAAUUUGCCUUAUAUUUAGCAUUUUAUUUUGUUUGGUGUUAAUUGAAAGUUAAAUGAUUUAUACAGUGUCUUAGGUUUGUUGGGGUGUGCAUAUAUGCCUUGGCAUGUGCCUUAGGGAUAGGUAUGGAUGCUUAAUUUGUGUAAUUAAAUAUGAAAAUAUUUGAAUCAUUAAAGCUUAAUAGCCUUCGUUAUAGUAAAAAAAAAUGAUUUGCUUUCAGCCCUCUGUUUUAAUGUUAUUGGAUGCUCAUUUACUCAAAUUUUGAGUUUUUGAGAUCCCAUGCCCCUCCAGAAGAAAAAAGAGAAAAAUUGGAAAAGUUCAGUGCAAAAUUGAAUUGAAUCAUGAAUUGUAAACUUAGCCUUAUGGAGAUGAACACUCUUUUAAUUGGUGGGGUCUGGGACAUUUCCCUUGAAUAUCAUUGGUCAAAAGAUACAAAAAAGGGAACAUGAAAUAUUCCUCAGCUCAUUACCUACUGAUCAGCUUAUGGUUUGUUCAGGUGUCAGAAUUAGGUAAUGAAGGUUGGUGAGUUAUCAAAAGGUGAGAACUUCAUUUGGAGUUUCCAACUCUUAAAGGAGCAGAAAGAGAAAUACAGUGAAAUUGGGAUGGUUUUUGGUGCUAGUCAUUAUCUCAUUUGGACAGUUUAAAUAUCCUAGAGAGAGUUCUUAAGUUAUUGAAAAUUUUGACAAGCUCUUUUUGAGCAUUUGCAACUUUCCUUCAUUCUACUCUAAUCAAAUUUUUGAAAGAAACCCUUGGUUUUUGGAGGUAUCUGUAGGAUUUGGUCAUCCAAACUGGUCUUAAAUCAUCUCCCUUUUGGUACAUAGUAUCUGAAAAGAAUAAAAAUUGUCAAAAUUUUCGGUUCUUGAUGGCUAACUCUUCUCGUCCCUCUUGUUAUUCUUUCAUUUGCAACCUCUUUCUUAGGUAUAAUAUGUUUGUCCAUGUAGUUGAGCUUACAAAAUUAUCAUUUAAUGAGGAAUAUUGAUGCCAAUUACACAAAGUGCACUUCGUUUCUUGAAGAAGCCAACUGCAAUAGUUGAAAUUUGAAAAGUCUAGAAGUUUAUAAGCUUCAUUUGUAAUUUUUCUUUUGCUGAUUGAAUUACAUGUCUAACAUUUAGUGCUACAAUAUUAUAUUUUCCUAACUUUGUUCUUUCAUGAUUUUUCUUAUUUUUUCUGCAUGUAUUUAGCUCCGUCAUAGAUUAAUGAUUGUCUGCUGCUAUCUGCUGCUACCUAUACUUUUUAUAAUGCAAUGAAUAAUGAAAUCAUGCAAUUUUGAAAUUAUUACUUUUUGCAGGGAUACCUAAUACACUAAAUGUCAUUUCAAAUAUUCCUUUCUUUUUUGUGGGCCUUGUUGGUCUUGUACUUUGCCUUCGUGGAAACUACUUCAGGCUAAGGUAGUGAGUCGAUAUUAUUUCCUCUUGCUGUUUAUUAUAAAUAAAACUGUGAAGACCUGUACUUAAUAUUUUGAUUUUAUUACCCAAAGCUCAUAGUACUGUUGAUUAAAUUACCUCGCAGCCAGAGGUUAUCUGUAUUUUAUCUUUUUUAAUAGAAUAGUCUGUAACCUUACAGCAUAUGUUGUUAAUUAACAUAAUAUUCUAUUACAUUCUGAUGGAAGAUGUUAAGAUCCAAACUUGAUAGUAAUUUCUGAAGUUAAAAAAAGAAAAGGAAAGGUGAGGUGGUAGAAUCAAAACUUUAAAGUUCAGGUCCAACAUUUGUGCACUGUAGUUUGCAGAAGGCUUGUAUGUUUGUACGUUUAUUUUAAAACAAAAGAUUUUGACUUGAAAAGGUCUUCUUUUGGUUGCUUACAGCUCCCAAGGCGAGCUAUGGGGUUGGAUAUGUUUCUUUGUUGGUGUGGCUGCUGUCGCUUUUGGCUCUUCCUAUUACCAUCUGAAGCCAGAUGAUGCUCGGCUUGUCUGGGAUCGCUUACCUGUGAGAUUUUCCAAAAAAAUUAAACCACACUAUACUUUGAAUUUUACCUUGUGGAUUGUUAACUAAUUAAGAGCCCAUGCAAUGUUCUAAUGUGAUUCAUGCAUCUUGUGUGAACUCUGGAGCCCAUUUCAGAAAUUAGUUGCAUAUGUGUGGUAUUUUGUAAACUGUGUACUUUAAUGAGACAAACUAUGUUCCAUUACAUAAAUAUGAAGAACUUCUGGACCUUGCAACAUUUGAGUCAAAACCUUCGUCUUCAUAGUAGAAACACUCUCUGCGGUUUCUUCAUGUAAUCUUAUGUUCUUUUCUAGGAUUACGGGAUGAAGAUGGGAGUUCAUAUCCUUAUUUAUUUAAAUAUAUUCAUAAGAAUUUCUGUUUUAUUGAAUUUUUAGCAAAUGCUUUCUUAAGACUGGAUUCAUUCUCCUAUAAUUUCACCAUAUGCUUCUGUACUUCCAUUUAAUAAUCUUAUUAUUGUGGACAUCUUGAUUUUAGUUUGUCAGAUUAGUUAUUCUUCUCUAUCAUGAUAAACUUUAGAGCAAUGCUAGCUGUACACCCCUAGAAUAAGGGUAAAUUUUACACCCCACUUGUCCUACAGCCACUAUUUUCCACUUGUCUUAUCUACUUUAUUUUUUAAUACUAAACACUCUUUGGGGUUUAUUGAUCCUAGGAUGGAAGGGUUGUAAGAUUUACACCUAUAUAUAGGUGUGUCGGUAGCAUUUUCAUAAACUUUAUUCAACAAUGGUUUUUUCAGUCAGUAUUGAUAGGCAGGUUUUCUGAAUUAUAUUAAGAUAUAUUUCAUCAUUUUUAAUCAGUGUUCAUAAAAAUUCUAUACGAGUUAAAAGUUAUACUAAAUUGGUGUCAAUGGAAUAAACUGGACUAAUCUCCCCUGAAUUAACCAAAAAAAUGAUCUAGAGAACUUCUCUUUUUUUU